This 51022-nucleotide long non-coding RNA is filed under the name Durio zibethinus. Its description in RNAcentral is "long non-coding RNA (DZIB_LNC000326)". The record is from RNAcentral. Lineage: Eukaryota; Viridiplantae; Streptophyta; Magnoliopsida; Malvales; Malvaceae.
AUUUUAAUAUUAUCUGAAAUUGGAGAGAACGCCAUAUAUCCUGUAUCAUGGUCAUUUUUCAAUCGGUUAUCUUAAUUGGCACGGAUUGAUUUUGCUGCAAAUGGCUAGAUCUUUUUAUUUUACCUCUGAAAUAAAUUUGCUGCCUAAAAUUUUCUGAAUUAUUUGGAUAAACUGAAUUGACUUUGUUUUGCAUGCCAUUUAGAAUCCGGUCUGAUGAUAGUAGUGGACAUCUGUCUGAUCCGAAUGAGGCAGGAUUGUUUAUGAAUCGAAAAUCCCAAGAUGCUGCAGUUGGUGCUCUUUUACGUAUGCUGAAGAAAGCCCCUCCUCUUCGCCAAGAUAUCUGCAGUUUAAUUAAUUUUUCGGAAGCCUCCAGUCCAGAAAUGUCGAACAGCAGCAUUUAUGAGCAAAACCAAAUUUCUGGGGUUGUGAAUGUUGAGCAUGCUGCUUCUUCAAGUAUUGCAUCUUCCAGGUUUGUUGCAUCAAAGACAACUGCUGAUGCAUUAGAGGAGCUUCGGGGUUAUAAAGAGAUGAAAAGCUUAUUGCUUAGUGAAGGUGGUAAGUCUUACACAUCUGCCAAUAAUGCCUCAGGAGCUGAACAUUCCAGUAAAGGUGCGUGAGAAUUUUUAACUUCUGCAAUAUUGGUAUAUCGCACAUAUAUGUACAGCGCUAUGGUUUGAGAGAUUACUACAUGCUAUACAACUGAAGCCAUUUUUGCUCUUAGGUAUUCACGUACGUUUAAUAAAAGAAUGUACAAAUGUUGUUUAAAAUUAUUUAUUAAAUUUAAUAAAUAAAUAUAAAUGAACAGAAAUUAAACAUGUUUAUUAACGGUUUGAAAUUAUUUAUUAUACUUAAUAAAUGAACAUAAAUGAACAAAAACUAAACAUGUUUACCGAAAGCUCUGAUCACACGCUUUCACAACGGUCCGCCAUUGAAUGCAUUUGUUAUAUUGUGCAACCAUGUUGUUUCAACAAGAGACUUAUCCAGAAAGAAAGAAAAAAAGAAAAAGAAACAGAACUGAUGACAGACGUCAAAAUUUACAUUUUCUUUUUAUUUCAAUUUUUUAUUUAAAUUUAAGUUUAUAUGCAUUUAGAACUAGCCAUUGACGCUUGUGGUGUUAUAGAAGAACAAAUAGUUCAAGAUUUUUAAUUUUCCUCUUGCCUUAAAUUGUGUACUGUUGUAUUUCAAUUUUUUGUUCUACUUAAAGAAAAUAUAAAAUAUUUUUUCUAUGUUUGCUCUGCGUGCAGUAGCUGAUUUUUUUUUUCUUUUGUUUUCUCUCUUUUCAUGGUUUUGUUAUGUAUAAAAUGUAAAAAUUAGUAUCGUACAUGAGGCUGUAAACAAAAAUUAAUGAUAAUAAUUUGUAACUAACAUCGUUUUGGUUGGUUCUUGUGCAAACAAGUCAUCCUUCCGAGUCUUAAUUUCUAUUCAGCGUGCUCUUUACUUUGAUUUGAAUGAUCAUCGCUGGAACAGUUGCUCUCCAACACUUAUUGUCAUAUUGUACUAAUUGAAAGCAACUUUUCUGGCUGAUAAGGGCUGAAGUCAUUGUUUUACCCAAUCGACACUCUGAUGUCAUGUCUGAAGAUUUGAGUUUUGGAUUUUUCUAGUACACCCAAACCAAUCCCACAACGUUGAAGUGGAGCGCACGCUGUCAGCCCUUAGCAUGUGUUUUUUUUUUUUUGAGUGGAUACGUUUAAACGUUGAAGCUUUUUCUUGCUUCACUGUACUGGUAUUGACUUUAAGCAAAACUCACUGGUUAGCACAUUUUCUGCACAUUCAUUUAUUGAACGCGACUUUACUUACCUCCCAUGGUUCGUCCCUUCAAGCUGUAAGGCAAAGAAGGAUUGUAGGGCAUCUAGAUAUUGCUUUUUAAUUUGUGGACUCGACAGAAAACUUUAGGCAAAAUCUAAGUCUUCUUGAGCUAAGUUACGUACCAAAACCAGCCCCACAACGUGUACGCGAAGGGACAUUAAAUUUGAUGCUUUGAAUUUUAAAGUUCGCCGAUGGGAAGGCAGGUGGAGCACGUCACAGCUAUUUCUAAGAAAUUUUACCUCUGAAAUAAAUUUGCUGCUUAAAAUUUUCUGAAUUAUUUGGAUAAACUGAAUUGACUUUGUUUUGCAUGCCAUUUAGAAUCCGGUCUGAUGAUAGUAGUGGACAUCUGUCUGAUCCGAAUGAGGCAGGAUUGUUUAUGAAUCGAAAAUCCCAAUAUGCUGCAGUUUGUGCUCUUUUACGUAUGCUGAAGAAAGCCCCUCCUCGUCGCCAAGAUAUCUGCAGUUUAAUUAAUUUUUCGGAAGCCUCCAGUCCAGAAAUGUCGAACAGCAGCAUUUAUGAGCAAAACCAAAUUUCUGGGGUUGUGAAUGUUGAGCAUGCUGCUUCUUCAAGUAUUGCAUCUUCCAGGUUUGUUGCAUCAAAGACAACUGCUGAUGCAUUAGAGGAGCUUCCGGGUUAUAAAGAGAUGAAAAGCUUAUUGCUUAGUGAAGGUGGUAAGUCUUACACAUCUGCCAAUAAUGCCUCAGGAGCUGAACAUUCCAGUAAAGGUACAUGAGAAUUUUUAACUUCUGCAGUAUUGUUAUAUGGCACAUUAUGUACAGCGCUAUGGUUUGAGAGAUUACUACAUGCUAUACUAUACAAGUGAAGCCAUUUUUGCUCGUACGUAUUCACAUACGAUUAAUAAACGAAUGUACAAAUGUUGUUUAAAAUUAUUUAUUAAACUUAAUAAAUAAACAUAAAUGAAUAGAAAUUAAACAUGUUUACUAACGGUUUAAAAUUAUUUAUUAAACUUAAUAAAUGAACAUAAAUGAGCAAAAAUUAAACAUGUUUAUCGAAAGCUCUGUUCACUUACAACACUAAUGGAGGCUCAUGCGAAUUUACAGGCUACAUAUGUCCAUGGUAGUGCAACAUAUCUCUAUCUUUCGCUCACCAUCUCUCUGUUGCUGUCGUCUCUAUUAUUUUCCUCUUUUCCCUUGUUUUUCCUCCUCCAUGUGGGUCUAGUCUGGAAAUGCAAUUGCCUUAUGAUUAGAAUUGAAGAGAAACAGAUGCGAUUGCCUGACUAGCAGAAUUGAAAAGAAAUCUCAGUGGGAUGUUUUAUUUGUUUUCGUUAAAAGGUAAACAUCAACCUUUUCAAUAAAGUUUGAAUCUGUAAGUAAGCGUAAAUAUUCGGAUAAUCUUCAACAAACCAAAAAAAUCUUUUUACAUUUUGUUUUUUCUUUGUUACCUUUGUGAUUUAACUUCGUUUGAUGAUCUCGGCUGGGGUUAAUUUGGAAAGAUUGGUUUAUUAUUGCCAUUGACAACUUGGUUUCUUUCUUUAAACAAUUAUUUGGAACUAACAAUAAGUUUACAUACGUCUUUGGUAAAGGCAUAAAGCACAUAAGCAUUAAAAAAAUUCAUCAUAUAUACAUAAAAAAGAUACGAAAAAUAUCUUUCAUUUGUUAUGUUAUUCAGAUUCGAAUGUUAGAUAUGUUAUAUGUACAAUACAAUAAUAUAUUUUUUUCGAUUAAUUCUUUUUUAUAUUUGGAUUGUCUAAUCUCCAUAUCUACAUUCAUUGUAUAUAUAUCAAACACAAGUACUUUAAAAGAAACGAAGAAUCCAACAGUUAACAUAGUUCAUUGACGCCUAGACCUUAACCUUCAUAUUGAGCCCCUAGUGCUUUUUAGUUUAUCCUCUUCUAUUCUUCUAUGGUGCUUUUUAACUCCUCUUUUGAUUGUCUCUGCCUUGGGCCCCAAAGGCUUUCAAAAUUUUUGGCGGGGCCUUGGCCCCCACACGCUUCCACAACGGUCCGCCAUGUAGUUUCAAUAAGGGACUUUUCCAGAGGCAAGGAAAGAAAGAAACAGAACUAAUGGCAGACGUCAUAUUUUACAUUUUUUUAUUAUAAUUUUUUAUUUAAAUUUAAGUUUAUAUAUAUGGAGAAGCUAGCCAUUGACGCUUGUGGGGUUAUAAAAGAACAAAAUGUUCAAGAUUUUUAAUUUUCCUCUUGCCUUAAAUUCUGAACUUUUGUAUUUUAUUUUUUUUUCUACUUAAAGAAAAUAUAAAAUAUUUUUACUAUGUUUACUCUGCGUGCAGUGGCUGAUUUUUUUUUUUCUUUUGUUUUCUCUCUUUUCAUGGUUUUGUUAUGUAUAAAAAGUAAAACUAGUAUGGUACAAAAGGCUAUAAACAAAAAUUAAUGAUAAUAAUUUGUAGCAACAUCGUUUUGGCUGGUUGUUGUGCAAACAAGUCAUCCAUCCAAGUCUUAAUUUCUGUGCAACGCGCUCUUUACUUUGAUGUGAAUGAUCAUCGCUGGAACAGUUACUCUCCAACACUUAUUGUCAUAUUGUACUAAUUGAAAGCAACUUUUCUUGCUGAUAAGGGCUGCAGUCAUUGUUUUACCCAAUCGACACUCUGAUGUCUGAAGGUUUGAGUUUUGGAUUUUUCUACUGCACCCAAACGAAUCCCACAACUUUUAAGUGGAGCCCACGUUCGCAGCCCUUAGCAUGGAUUUUUUUGAGUGGAUAAGUUUAAACGUUGAAGCUUUAUCUUGCUUCACCGUACUGGUCUUGACUGUGAACGAACUUUGGUUUAAAACUCACUGGUUAGCACAUUUUCUGAACAUUCGUUAAUUGAAAGCGACUUUGCUUACCUCCCAUGGUUCGUCCCUUAAGCUGUAAGGCAAAGAAGGAUCGACGGGCAUCUAUAUAUUGCUUUUUAAUUUGUGGACUUGAUAGAAACUUUAGGCAAAAUCAAGUGUUCUUGAGCUAAGCUACGUGCCAAAACCAGCCCCACAACGUGUACGUCAACAGACAUUAAAUUUGAUCCUUUGAACUUUAAAGUUCGCCGAUGGGAAGGCAGGUGGAGCACAUCACAGCUAUUUCUAAGAAAAAUCUGGUCAUUGGUCUUUGGACUUAUUGGUUAUUAGUUGAACGUAUGCUUCGGUUUUGAUAGUUGCGUUUAGCUUUGCAUAAACGUAGUCCUUCGUAAACGACGGGAAAGGGACUGGGUAGUCAUAAGGAUUUUUCUUUAAUGAAGCACCUUCAAUUUGAUGGUACUCUCUUAAUUGAAACAUUAGCCGGAUGGGUUUUGGCUUUGUGCAUGCAAUUAAAUUAACAUAUAAAGACUUUGUCUUUGAAGCAACUUAAGUAAUACUAAAUUUAAUUUGUAGGGUUUCAAUGUGAGACAUUUUAUAAAUUGGUUGUGGUAUAUAAGAAAAAAUUUAAAUUUAUAUUUAUAAAAUAUUUUUUGAAAUAAAAUUAUAAAAUUUUUGAGUCAAUAAUAUUUAUUAAUUUAAGUGCGAUGUACAAUUAAUAUCAAGCAAUUAUAAACCGAUAAAAAAAUGUUAUACAAUAAAAAUUACUUCUAAAUCGUUGUAAAUGAGACCCAAUAUUAUACUAUGUGAGUAUCACUUUUAAAAUUUUUAUUUUUAGUAUGACUUUAAUUUUAUGUUUAGUAUAAUCCUAAUUUUUUAUAUACUAUAUUAAACUUGAAAAAAACAUUAAACUUUAAUAAGCAAAUUUAUAACACUCAAUCUUAUUCUAAAAUAUUUUAAAAUUUUAUUAUGAUAUAUAUAUAAAUCUAAAUUUUAAAAUUUUUUAAUCAAAAUAAAUAAUAUUUCGCAUACAUGUAUAACGUAAUAACUGUAAGAAACGAGAUAUCAUUUUCCAAUUGAAGGCUCUAAGUAAUCUUGCUUUUUCCCGUUUGGACGUUAACUUUUUGAGGUUUAGGGUACUGAUUAAUAUUUUUUAGAGAGAGAAAAAAAAGAAAUAGUACUCCCUUUGUCUUAAUUUAUUUAUACCUCAAUUUGGUUCUUUUAACCGAAAUUGAUCGAACUUUUUACCUUCAAUUAUUAAAUUAUUAGAUUGAUUAAUUAAAAAUUUAAAAAGGUUUUAAAUUCUUUUCUCAAGUACAUAAGGAUUUUGAAUUGCAUUAAUAUGAGAAAGUUUUCUCCAAUAUCUAUAUUUUAUCUUAUUUAUCAUAAAAUUCAACAACAAGAGAUCAAUUAAACUUCAAGUUUCAACAGUUGCUUGAAUUUUAUACUCGUGAUUUUUUUAUAGUCAUUUUGCAAAAUAGAGAUAUACAAAAUUAUGUUUAUUUGACCAAACAAGUUAAACAAGGAGAACCAAAUGAGAGUAGGAGAAAAAUGUGGGUAGAAAAUACAGUUUUUAACCUUUAAUUUGCAUCAUUUUAUAAAACUUUGACGUGCAUUAUCACUCUCUUUUAGCAGUUGAAAGUGUAUUCAACCGGACUUUGCUGCUCAAUUACUUUUUAUUGGAUUCUUAUCUUAAAUUUUUAAAGGACUUGGAAGUUAAAAUAUUGAAAAUCGAGUGAAUGGUGCAAAUUCUAAGGGCAGAUUGGUUUUCUAGAAAAUUAGAUUUAGGGUCUAUUUGGAUAUUGAUAAGAUUAAUUUUGGUGAAAUUAAAAAUAAUAAUAAAUAAAAUAUUAAUUAAUGUAACAAUAAAAUUAAAAUCAAUGUUGAAACAUAACCUAACCUAUGCCAGGCUGUAGUGGACCAUCCCUAGAUGGGUCCAAUUGAACUCUGAUUGAAUUGGUCAAACUACAACUGAAUCAGUCCAAUAUGUAUCAGCGCCUAAAUAGUUUGAGGAACUGCGAAAUUGGACUGACCAUUAUUAAACUAUUGACUAGUUUUGACCAAUUUUUUGGGUAAUAUUUUUAUUUUUUUUUUACUUUGUUAAGUUAUUUAUUUGUUUAUCUAUACACUUUUAAGUUUUUAAAAGUAAAUAUAUAAUUUAAAAAAUGUUGAAAAAUCUUUGAAACAAAUCCUUCGACAAUGAAAUAUUAAGGAAAUGCAAGUAUUUCUUAAAAAUCUUUAAGUAAAGAUAUUUUUCUAAAAUGCUACUAAAGUAUUGAAAUAUUUAAAAAGCUAUUCAAUACAAAAAAAUUUUGUUUACUUAUUUUUUAUAUUGUUAAAAUUGAAAACAAAAAUAAUGAAUGAGUUUUUUAAGUAAUAAAAUUACAUAUAAUAAUGCAUGAAUAUUAUUGGCAUUAAUUAAUUAAAAAAUAUGAGCCUCCAAAGAUGGUUUUUUAAAAAAAUUUGAGUUGUGAUUCCUGAGAAAUUCAUAAGUGAAAAAAAUUUCUCUUAAUGUUAUUAGUAUAUUAGAAUGUUUCAAGAUAUUUUCAACAAGUUUCCAAUUUAUUUUUCAAAUAAAAAAUGAAAUAGCAUUUUUUAUUUAAAGAAAAAGAAUUAAAAAGAGAAAAUUUUUUGAACGAAAUUAAACAAAUCAAAAUUAUGAUAAAAAUUGGUUAAAAAGUUAUUUUUAAAUAUCAAAAUUAAAAUCUUUUUUUGUCAAUAUUAAAGGAUAAAACAUAAUUAUUCUGUAACAUUUUAAAAAAGUCAUUGUGGGAUGUUAAUUUUUUUCACAUAUAAUCGUAUUUUCGAAUCUAAAUUAUUUUGACAGACACAAAAAUUAUCUUUUUAAUAAAUUUUAAUUAAUUUUAAAUUUUACUAAAAAGAUAAGUUUUUUUAAAUGAUUAAUCACAUUUAACAAAAAAAAUUUAGUGAUAACACGUUGUUUUCAAUUCAUAUAACGGUUCUCAAAAAUAAAAUAACUAAUUAAAUAUGUAAAGAAAAAAUAGAAAUUAAAAUAAAAAUAAAUAAAAACCAAAGAAACUGACGCACGGUAGGUUUAUAUAUAGUAAGUCAAACUUACCCUGAUUAAUAUAUAGGAUAUAUAUAGAUAGAUAUAAUCGUAAUUAAAGACUUUGAAGCAUAUGAUAGUGAAGGGUUGCCUGGAGGCUUUUCAUUUCUGUGCCUACGAUCUGAACUUGAACUUUUAAAAUAUCUAACAAAAUUGGAUCAUGAAGAGACAUAUUAUAAUUUGGGAAGACUGUGAAGAAGAAAUGCUGCACUAAAUCUCUUGGGCCAUCUGCCUCAUUUGUUCAAUACAUAAUCUGUCUUCGUGGUGGAUUUGUAUUUGGUUAGAUUCCUUGGCAGAAUGGGCUCUUUGACAGUUGCAGAUUUUAAGAAGAAAAUCACGGCUCAUUGUUAUGUAAUAAGUUGAAUGAGCUACCAAACACCUUCGUCGCCAUUUUUUACUCGACCAAGUCUUUCAUUUUUACUCAAGUAAAUUCUCCAAAAUGCACGAUUGUAAGAAGCUUAGCUAACUUGCUACAUCGGCUCACCACAGACUUCUUUGAACUUGGUCGAUUGUUUUGAACAAUUCAUUAUUCUUGGAAUUCAAACUAAACGUCACUUAAUGUGAUUUUUUUAGCACUUAAUCAUGUUCUGAACGUACUUUAAAUUCAUUGGAUCUAAAUAUCGAACCAAAUACAAGUUGAUUAAUAGUCCUUUCUCGGAUAGGUAGUUGUUGGUCACGUCGAUGAUCUAUAUAUUGGUAUGUUGUGUCACGAAUUAUAUCUCAAGUGAUAACAAAAAAUUAACCCAACUUCUAUAGUUCCAAACUAAAGCUUUCUUCAUGGCUCUUCAAUCCUCCAAAAUUUUGGUUGCUACCGCCAAAGUUUUAGAUCAAAAAAUUGUUAGGCGAUCUGCUAAUUACCAUCCUACAAUUUGGAAGGACGAUUAUAUUCAGUCGCUCAAGAGUGAUUACAUGGUAUGUAGAAUGGUAAUUACCAACAUAUAUAUAUAUAUAUAUAUAUUUUGAGCAUGACAGGUAGCUAACAGAGUUGCUUAUCGUCGAUAGGGAGAAUCAUAUGGUGAACGAGCAGUGAAACUGGUGGGAGAAGUGAAAAUGAUGCUUGACAAAGUGAUGGAUCCUUUGGAGCAACUCGAGCUAGUCGAUGCGUUGCAGAGACUCGGAUUAUCUCAUCACUUUGAGAAUGAAACCAAGAGGAUUUUGGAGUAUGUAACGGCUGACCAUACCAAUUUAUAUGCUACAUCACUUGAAUUUAGGCUCCUAAGGCAGCAUGGGUAUAAAGGAACUCCAGGUAAAAGUCCAAGUAGUAAUUAAUUUUGUGUAAAUAUAAAAUAAAAAAAUUGGAGAAAUAUUGAUAAUUACAGUUGAAAAUUUUAUUACAUGCAGAGGUUUUCUCCCAUUUCAUGGACGAGAUAGGGAACUUGAAGGCAGGUUAUUGUGAGGAUUGGAAAGGGCUGCUGAGCUUGUAUGAAGCUUCAUACCUUUUGUUUGAGGGUGAAAGCAUAUUGGAGAAGGCAAGAGAUUGUGCAGCAAAACAACUCAAAGAAUUUCUGAAGCAGAACAAGGAUGUAUAUAGUGUGUCGAUGCUAGUGGAUCAUGCUUUGGAACUUCCAUUGCAUUGGAGAGUACCAAGGUUGGAAACCAGAUGGUUCAUAGAUGUGUACCAAAAAAGAGACAGAAAUCAGAGUCUUCUGGACCUUGCUAAAUUGGACUUCAAUAUGUUGCAAGCUGUUCACCAGGAUGAUCUAAGACAUGCUUCCAAGUAAGUUCGUUCAAAUUUAAAUUAUAUAUUUUUUUUAUAUUCGGCCAAUAGGAAAAAUCCUGAGCUACUCUAAAGAUAUUAUAAAUAUAUCAGCAGAUUUCAUGUCUUUUUUUAAGUACAUGUAAGGCUAAACCCCCCCCCCCCCCAAAAAAAAAAAAAAGAAAUAAUAAACUUAAAUAAAGUGAAUAUUUAAACAUUCUAUCAUGGCUAUGUCCUAAUUCCAAUAUAAUACUUACAAGUUUUACUUUUUAUAUGUUUAAAUAACUUUUUUACAGAAAAAACCAUGGAACAUCAAAAUUAUAACAUUUUUGAAAAUUUAAUAUAAAACUGCUAAAAUCAUAGCAUUUUUUAGUUUUGUUUCUUUUGUCUAGUAAAAAAAAAAAAAGAACAUUCAAUUUUAGACAUAAUUAAACAAUAAUGGAAUACUGUUAAAUGUCAUUUACAACAGGAAAAAAAAGACAUAAAUAGGAGUUGAUAUAUAUCAAAAGCUAUAUAAAAACUCCCUUAAUUAAUUAAUUAUUUGAUUGAUUGAUUAAUCUAUUCUAUUUAUAGUUUUGAAUUAAUUUUACAGAAAACGAUUUUCUUAAACUUCUGUGCAGGUGGUGGAAAGAUCUGUGUCUUGGGGAAAAGUUGACGUUUGCCAGAGACAGGUUAGUGGAGAGCUUUUUAUGGGCUAUGGGCGUGGCAACUGAUCUUCACUUUGGUAAUUGUAGAAGAAUUCUCGCUAAGGUUGGUGCACUAAUAACAAUUAUAGAUGAUAUUUAUGAUGUGUAUGGUACCAUGGAUGAAUUACUGCUCUUCACCGAGGCUGUUGAGAGGUUCGUAUGGUUCUUUAACUCUCUACUUUGUAUAAAAGAUGACCAGAGAGAAUCAGUGAUCUAUUUUUUAAUUUAAAAGCUAGGUUUCAUAAUAUUUUUUAGUUACUUUAUAACUCAAAUCAUUGAAAAUUUAAGCUUAAUUUAGUUCAUCCCUUAAAUUUAUAUUUAGCAUUAAAAUUUAAAACAAUUGUCUUAAUAUUUUCAAAAUAUUUUUAAUUAAAAUUAAAUUAAAAUUUUUUACCGAAUCUAAAAAAAUCCUAUUUAUAGGACCCAGAUUUGAUUAGAUCAAACCCAUAGCUCAACCAGUGAACACCUCUACCCUUAUUCCCAACAAAGCAAAGCCUUACGUAAUUUUUUUUUUUCUGUAUGAAAUUUUAAUCUUUAUGAUUCCAGAUGGGACACAAAUACAAUGGAGUUGUUUCCUGAAUAUAUGAAGCUAUGUUUCCUUGCUCUUUUCAACUUCGUAAACGAAACAGCCUUCGCCAUUCUCAAGGAGCAAGGAUUCGAUACCUUACCUCUCAUGAAGAAAAUGGUACUGAAACCCUUCUAUUAUAUAUAUAGUUUUGAAUUACUUUUAUUUCAUGAUCUUUUCCUUCUAGAUUUCGAUUUUGUUAUUGAUCAUGAUUUCUAUCAUAAAUGUACAGUGGGCAGACCAAUGCAAAGCUAACUUAUUGGAGGCGAAGUGGUAUUAUAAUGGAUAUACACCAACUUUAGAAGAGUAUCUUGAAAAUGGACUGAUUUCCAUUGCCUUUCCUGUAAUACUUUUUCAUGCUUAUUUGGCUACAAAUUCAAUAAGAAAGGAGUGCAUGGAAUGCUUCGAAGAGUGUUCCAACCUAAUCAAGUUUUCAUCUGUGAUAGCACGUCUUGCGGAUGAUCUUGGAACAUCAUCGGUAUGAAAUAUACAAGCAUCAUUGCUUGCUGUGAAUUGAAAUAUAUUUAUGUAAUGCUUUACCCUUUGGAUUUUUUUGAUUAGGAUGAGUUGAAAAGAGGCGAUGUUCCUAAAUCAAUCCAAUGUUACAUGCACGAAACUGGAGCUUCGGAUGAAGAAGCCCGUCAGCACAUACGGGCGUUGAUUGAUGCAUGGUGGAAAAGGCUAAACGAAGAGCGAUUUGCUCAUUCUCCUUUUUCUCAGACGUUUAUUCAAUUUGCAUUGAAUGUGCCAAGGACGACUCAAUGCAUGUACCAGCAUGGUGAUGGCUAUGGGAUUGGAGAUCGUGAGACUAAGGAUCGUGUAUUAGCAUUAAUCGCUUUUCCUAUUCCAUAGAACAAAAUAAUUGGAGGCUAGGUGAUAUAGCAAUCCUUUUGUAGUAACUGUCAUAACGUCUAGAUCCGGGGAUCUAUCGCUAGACAUUGACUUAAGGGAGUCGCUACCAAUCUUUUUUUAUCUAGUUGCGAUUAGCCACCUAAAGAAUCUGUCCCUUCAAGGAACACUUAAGUUUAAGGGUCCUUAAAAGAAUAGGUUCGGGUCUACAAACCAGAACAGGGUUCGGGAGUUCGGUUACGUGUGAGGAAGGUUAUAGCACCCUCACAACGCCCAUCAAAAGAUGGUACCAACUUAAAUUUGUAUUAUCUAAAAAAGCCUUAAAAUGUUACCAAGUAAUUAAUUAUUGAAAAUUAUUCUCAAUUGACUUUAAUUCUUUUAGCAAAAAAUUGAGAAAAUUCUCUCACCUCAGGAGUAUACAAGAAAAACUACUGUUUUACUUGCAGAGGUUCCGUCGUCGGAUUAAUUAAAAAAAAAUGAAAAUCAAAAUCAAAAUAGAAAGGAAGGAAAGGAUGAUUAUUCUUGUGUAGGAAAAAUUGAUACUUUCAACUUUUCUCCAAAAAUUAUUUUUUUAAAAUUUAUUUUUCAGGAAAAUUGAUACUUUCAACUUUUCCCUAAAAAUCCUUUUUUUGAAAUUUAUUUUUAAGGAAAAUUGAUACUUUCAACUUUUCCCCAAAAAUAUUUUUUUUUGAAAAUUUAUUUCUAAGGAAAAUUGAUACUUUCAAUUUUUUCCCAAAAAUAUUUUUUUUUGAAACUUUGAUUCCCAAGGAAAAUUGAUACUUUUAACUUUUCCUCAAAAAUCUUUUUUUUUUGAAAAUUUAUUUUUAAGGAAAAUUGAUACUUUCAACUUUUCCCUAUAAAUAUUUUUUUUGGAAAUUUCGAUUUUCAAGGAAAAUUGAUACUUUCAACUUUUCCCCAAAAAUCUUUUUUUUGAAAUUUUACUUUUAAGGAAAACUGAUACUUUCAACUUUUCCCCAAAAAUAUUUUUUGGAAAUUUAUUUUUCUUUUAAGGAAAAUUGAUACUUUCAACUUUUCCUCAAAUAUCCUUUUUGAAAUUUAUUUUUAAGGAAAAUUGAUACUUUAAACUUUUUCCUAAAAAUAUUUUUUUUGGAAUUUUUGAUUUUUAUUUAAAGAAAAUAGAAUAAUAAAAUAAAAUAAAAUAAAAUAAAAUAAAAAAGAAAGAAAAGUAAAAAAAUAAAAUAAAAUAAAGAUAAAAAAGAAUAUUAAAUAAACCUAAUCUAAUAAAUUAAUUAAUUAAUUAAAAAAAAAAAAAACCUGGAGCGGUUCGGUUCGGCUCCCCUCAAGGCAGGGAAACGGCUCGAGGGGAGCGGCUUGGCAGCUUGGCUCAGCUUGGCUCGGCUCGGAGGGGGACUGGCACGCGCGGGUCAGGAAGCGGGUCGACGCUCGGGUGGGGUCGGGUUUCGACAAAACGCGCGGAUCCUCUGAUUAACUUAAAGCCAAAACGACGUCGUUUUGGGAGGGUAUAAAAGACAGUUACCUUCGUUUUUCGGCAGAACCCUUCUCCUCUCUCUCUCUCUUCUUCCUUUUUCCUCUCCUUUCUCUCUAAAAACUGAAGAACACCGGUGGAAUUUUCGCCGGAUUCUGGAAAAAAUCACCGAAAUCUGGAAAUUUUAUCGAAAGUUGGUCGGAAUAUCACCGGUUUCUGGGAUUCUUCACCGGAAACUGGGUUGGUCGUCGGAAACUUCAAGGUUGGCCGGAAUUUUCGUCGGAAAAUUCAACCAUCGCCGGAAAAGUCACCGGAAUCUGGAAAUUUCCCAGAAAUUUCCAGAAAAUUUUUUUCGCCAAAAAUUUCUAAAAAUUUUUUCUCACUCCCAGAACCCUCCUAAACUUUUCUUAGCUUCCUAUAUGCUUCCUUUUCUCUCAAACCAGUAGCUUUGCUUAUUGUUUUCUCUCUGUUUUUCAUCUGUUCCAGGAGGUGCUUUUUAUAGGGGUUGAUCAAGAGUUCCUGAUCAAUCCUAAUUCCUCCUUGGACGAAGAUUCAAUCUUUGAAUCCAAUUGGACUCUUCUGAUUGAAUUCCCCUCCACAGUGGGAUUCUUUAACUUUUAAUCUUAGCCCUCCAAAAUAAAAUCAAAAUAAAAAAAUACUAGAUAAUUAGAAAAGAUAAAUCAAAAAAUAUUAUAUAUAAAAAAAAUAAAAAAUAAUAUCUGAUAAUUGGAAAAAAAUCAGAUAAAAUUGACAGAUAAUUUAAAAAAUACUAAUAACAAAUAAAAUAAGAUAAACCCAAAAAUAUAUUACAAAAAAAUAAUAAUAAUAUAAUAAUAAAUAUAUAACUAUAUAAAUAAAAUACAUAUAAAUCUAAUCUAAUAAAUAAAUAAAUAUAUACAUAAUAAUAAUAAUAAAUAAUAAAAUAUAUAAAAUACAAAAGAAAGAGAAAAAAAAAUAAUAAUACAGGAUAAAAUUGGAUUGAGCCUUACCCAUUUGGGCUAGGCCCAAUUGAUCUGGGCCUGGACCUAAUUGGGUGUCUACAGCUGCCCCUCUUUGCACAUUUUCUGUGAAACAGAAAUUGCGCAAAGACGUAGACACCCAAUUAAGACUCAACUCAACAUUGUCAUUUUUUGUUUUUUUUUGUUGUUUUUUUUUUUUGCCAAAGCUCCUCUAAACAGAGGCUCAAUGAUUUUGAGAAACAUAAAUUGCUCCUCUAAACAGAGGCACCACGACUUUGAAAAGUAAAUUGCUCCUUAACAAUCAUGUCCAAAGGAGUUUGAAGGUUGUGUUUGGAGGAAUUUCAGGAGAUUAUGCCCAAAGGUCUUAUAAAUCAACCCCGAUACCAAAAGACAUCCUAUUUUAAGGAUUAGGAACUUACCUGACAAGUUUCUUCUCAAACUUGCAAAAUAUCUUCAUAUCUGUCUUCUUCAUGUGAGAUGUUGGAACACCCCUGCUUCUUGAAUUUAUACACUAUACUUUCCUGAAAGUAGUGUAUGCUAUGCAAAUGCAUAUGAAUUUCAAUGCAUGCUAUGCAAAUGUUCGAUCAAUUAAUUCCUGUUCAAUGUAUGGUACUCAAGUUUCUCAAGCUUUUUUCUUAGGCAUCAAGCCCUUCUAUUCUUCAGAGAUCCAAUUACACUGUUCUUCUAAGAUUGAACCAGUGUAGCUCUCAAUUGUCUCUUCCACUCAAAAAAUCCCUUCCCAGAUUCAAUGUCCUAAUCAGGAGCUGAACAUCUCAAUUCUGCCUUUUUCACUUUUGACUUAUUCAAUGUAAUGUAAAGAUCUUUUUAUGUUGUUAUUCAUUCAUCAAUCAUUAUUUCAAACUCAAAAAGUAAGAAUGCAUUUGCAUAUUUCUCUCAUGGUGGGUUGCUAAGAAGAAAAGAAUAUGAAUGGUUGGGAAACAAGCAUCGAAAAAAGGCACAAAGAAUGAGAUAAAAUAUUUUUUAUUAGCAAAAUGUUGGCAAACUUUGGCCAAGAGAGAACUAUAAUGAUAGGUAUGGGAAUAAAGCCCAAAAUGAUCAAUCAGAUAAUCACGAUAACACCUCUCAAAGUCUUUUUUGAAAACCCAACCCUCUGAUGUAUUUAACAACUUGGAACUCUUCCGAAUUUGUUAGCUUCCAUAUCAGCGAACUUUUAAAUUUGAUGCUGUGUUCUCCUUAUCUAAGCCGCCUUUUCAGGUUUUCAACUUAGACAAAUCCCCUAUGACUCAAACCGUCCUUUUGGGAUUUUCGUCUUGAGUCUUCCUUUUUCACUUUUUCUUUUUUCAUUUUUUUUAUUUUUUUCAAGCAUAGUAUUUCUUCACAGCAUCAGAAUUUAUAGGAUGGGGUAAAUCAUUUCCAUCAAUUUCAGUUAGUAUCAGUGCUCCACCCGAAAAAGCCCAUUUCACCACAUACGGCCCUUCCCAAUUCGGAGUCCAUUUUCUUCUACUAUCGUGUUGGAUUGGGAGAAUUCUUUUCAAGACCAACUCUCCUUCCCGAAAACAACGGGGUCGAAUCUUCUUAUCAUGAGCCCUCAUUAUUCUCUUUUGAUAUAGCUGACCAUGGUACAGUGCAGUCAUUCUCUUCUCUUUUAUGAAAUUUAACUGCUCAUAACGUUCUCGAAUCCAUUCAGUUUCUUCCAACUCAACUUCUUUUAAUACUCUCAAAGAGGGAAUCUCUACUUCCACUGGUAGUACAGCCUCCAUCCCAUAAACCAACGAAAAUGGGGUUGCCCUAGUAGAGGUGCGAACUGACGUUCGAUAUGCAUGCAAUGCGAAUGACAACUUCUCAUGCCAAUCUUUGUAAGUCUCGGUCGUUUUCUCUAAAAUCCUAUUUAUGUUCUUAUUGGCUGCCUCAACUGCCCCAUUCAUUUUCGGACGGUAUGGUACCGAGUUAUGAUGCUUGAUCUUGUAUUGAGCAUAUAUUUCUUGCAUAAUCUUACUAUUUAAAUUCUUGGCAUUGUCUGAAAUUAUUCUCUCCGAAAGUCCAUAUCUACAGAUGAUCUCUUUCUUUAUGAACUUACAAACCACGGAGCGUGUCACAUUUGCAUACGAUGCUGCCUCUACCCAUUUUGUGAAGUAAUCUAUCAUCGCAAAAAUGAAUCUGUGCCUGUUAGAAGCCUUUGGGCUGAUUGGACCAAUGACAUCCAUGCCUCACAUUGAAAAUGGCCAUGGUGGUGCCAUAACAUGUAAAGCAGAUGGUGGAGCACGAAUCCUAUCAGCAUAUAUCUGGCAUUUAUGACAUUUACGAGCAUAAUCAAUGCAAUCGUUCUCCAUAGUCAACCAGUAAUAUCCCGCUCUCAUAAUCUGUCUUACCAUCAUAUGUCCACUAGUAUGUGUCCCACAUAUUCCAUCAUGCACCUCUUCAAUGAUUUUUUUUGCUUCAGUCUCAUUUACACACCUCAAUAGUACUUGAUCCUUGCUUCUUUUGUAAAGAAUAUCCCCAUCCAGGAAAAAGCUCAUAGCCAAUCUUUGGAUGAUCCUUUUAUCAUUUUCUGUUGCAUGAACUAGAUACUGCUGCUCCUCGACAUACUAUAAGAUGUCAUAAUACCAUGAUUUUCCAUCUUCUUCCCUCUCUACAUUAGAAUAAUACGCUUGUAUAUCUUUAACAUCUAACUUGAUAGGUUGAAUGUCGAUAUUAUCAUUAAUUCAAAUCAUUACAGUCAGAGUAGCCAAUGCAUCAGCAAUCACAUUCUCUUCCCGGGGUAAGUGAUCAAACUGGACAUCUUCAAAUUGUUUCAUCAACUCUAGAAUAUACUUAUGAUAUGGAAUGAGUUUUGAGUCUCUCGUCUCCCAUUCUCCUUUCAAUUGAUAUAUGACUAGAGUUGAGUCUCCAAACACUUUCAGUACUUUCACUCUUCUAUCUAUAGCAGCUUGCAGGCCCAUGACACAUGCCUCAUACUCAGCGAUAUUAUUUGUGCAAUUGAAAUUUAACCUCGUCGUUACAGGGUAGUAUUGUUCUUCUGGAGAAAUCAGAAUUGCCCCAAUUCCAUGCCCCAAGGCAUUAGCAGCUCCAUCAAAGUACAUUCUUCAACAUUUAUCUCCAUGCUCCCUUUUUUCUAAUUGAGAAAUAGUCAUCAAGUCUUCAUCAGGGAAUUCUAACUUCAUCGACUCAUACUCUUCAGCAGCACGAUCUGUAAGAAAUUCUGCUAUAGCGCCUCUUUUUAUCACUUUUUGGCUCACAUAUAUAAUAUCAUAUUCCGAGAGCAUUACUUGCCAUCUAGCGAUUCUCUCAGACAAAGAAGGCUUCUCGAAGAUAUACUUAAUUGGAUCUAAUUUUGCUAUAAGCCAUGUAGUGUGAUAGAGCAUAUACUGUCUGAGUCUUUUGGCAGUCCACGCUAAUGCACAACACAUUUUCUCCAAUAAAGAAUACUUGGAUUCAUACUCCGUGAACUUUUUACUCAGAUAGUAAAUAGCUCUCUUCUUUCGGCUAGCCUCAUCUUGCUACCCCAACACACAUCUCAUUGAAUUUUCACAUACAGUUAAGUAUAAGAUUAAAGGUUUCCCUGGAACAGGUAGCGCCAAUACUGGAGGGUUUGAUAAAUAUUGCUUAAUUUUAUCAAAUGCCUUUGACAUUCUUCAUUCCAUUUCCCAGGAUUAUUCUUACGGAGAAGCUUAAAGAUGGGAUCACAUUUGUAAGUAAGCUGAGAGAUGAACCGAGAAAUGUAGUUCAAUCUCCCCAGAAAACCUUGAACUUCUUUUGGUGUGCUGGAGGUGACAAAUUUUGGAUGGCCCGUAUCUUAUCGGGAUCGACUUCAAUUCCUCUUUCACUGACCACAAAGCCUAGUAACUUUCCCUGACNNNNNNNNNNNNNNNNNNNNNNNNNNNNNNNNNNNNNNNNNNNNNNNNNNNNNNNNNNNNNNNNNNNNNNNNNNNNNNNNNNNNNNNNNNNNNNNNNNNNNNNNNNNNNNNNNNNNNNNNNNNNNNNNNNNNNNNNNNNNNNNNNNNNNNNNNNNNNNNNNNNNNNNNNNNNNNNNNNNNNNNNNNNNNNNNNNNNNNNNNNNNNNNNNNNNNNNNNNNNNNNNNNNNNNNNNNNNNNNNNNNNNNNNNNNNNNNNNNNNNNNNNNNNNNNNNNNNNNNNNNNNNNNNNNNNNNNNNNNNNNNNNNNNNNNNNNNNNNNNNNNNNNNNNNNNNNNNNNNNNNNNNNNNNNNNNNNNNNNNNNNNNNNNNNNNNNNNNNNNNNNNNNNNNNNNNNNNNNNNNNNNNNNNNNNNNNNNNNNNNNNNNNNNNNNNNNNNNNNNNNNNNNNNNNNNNNNNNNNNNNNNNNNNNNNNNNNNNNNNNNNNNNNNNNNNNNNNNNNNNNNNNNNNNNNNNNNNNNNNNNNNNNNNNNNNNNNNNNNNNNNNNNNNNNNNNNNNNNNNNNNNNNNNNNNNNNNNNNNNNNNNNNNNNNNNNNNNNNNNNNNNNNNNNNNNNNNNNNNNNNNNNNNNNNNNNNNNNNNNNNNNNNNNNNNNNNNNNNNNNNNNNNNNNNNNNNNNNNNNNNNNNNNNNNNNNNNNNNNNNNNNNNNNNNNNNNNNNNNNNNNNNNNNNNNNNNNNNNNNNNNNNNNNNNNNNNNNNNNNNNNNNNNNNNNNNNNNNNNNNNNNNNNNNNNNNNNNNNNNNNNNNNNNNNNNNNNNNNNNNNNNNNNNNNNNNNNNNNNNNNNNNNNNNNNNNNNNNNNNNNNNNNNNNNNNNNNNNNNNNNNNNNNNNNNNNNNNNNNNNNNNNNNNNNNNNNNNNNNNNNNNNNNNNNNNNNNNNNNNNNNNNNNNNNNNNNNNNNNNNNNNNNNNNNNNNNNNNNNNNNNNNNNNNNNNNNNNNNNNACGGCUCGGGGGAGCGGCUUGGAAGCUCGACUCAGCUCGGCUCAGCUUGGAGGAGGGGCAGCACGCGCGGGUCAGGAAAGCGGGUCGACGCUCGGGUCGAGUCGGGUUCGGCAAAACGCGCGGAUCCUCUAGUUAACUUAAAGCCAAAACGACGUCGUUUUGGGAGGGUAUAAAAGGCAAUCCCCUUCAUUUUUUGACAGAAUGCUCCUCCCCUCUCUCUCUCUUCUUCUCUUUUCCUCUCUCUUCUCUCUAAAAGCUGAAGAACACCGGUGUCGAAUUCUGAAAAAUAUCGCCGGAAUCUGAAAAUUUCGUCGGAAGUUGGUCGGAAUAUCACCGGUUUCUGGGAAUCUUCGUCGAAAACUGGGCAGGUUGCCGGAAACUUCAAUGUUCGUCGGAAUUGUAGCCGAAAAAUUCAAAUUUUGCCAAAAUUUUAGUCGAAAUCUGGAAAUUUCCCAAAAAUUUUUCAGAAAAAUUUUUCGCCAAAAAUUUCUAAAAAUUUUUUCUCACUCCCAGAACACUCCUAAACUUUUCCUAGCUUCCUAUACGCCUCUUUUUCUCUCAAAUCAGUAGCUUUGCUUACUGUUUUCCGUGUGUUUCAUUCUGUUUCAGGAGGUGCCUUUUAUAGGGGUUGAUCAGGAGUUCCUGAUCAAUCCCAAUUCCUUCUUGGACGGGGAUUCAAUCUUUGAAUCCAAUUGGACUCUUCUGAUUGAGUUCCCCUCCAUAGUGGGAUUCUUCAUCUUUUAAUCCCAGCCAUCCAAAAGAGAAAACAAAGAAAAGAAAGAAAAAAAAUAAUAAUAGUAAAAAAAAUCAGAUACGGAUCAAGAAAAGAGAGAAAAAAAAAGAUUAUUAACAGAUAAUUAGGGACACAAUAAGAUAAACCAACCAAAAAAAAAUAUUACAAGAAAAAAAAAAGAAAAUAAUUAUAAUAUAAUAAUAUAAAUAUAAUACAUAUAAAUAUUAACAGAGAAAAAAAUAAAUAAAUAAAUAAAGAUAUACAUAUAUUAAUAUAUAAUAAUAAUAAUGAAUAAUAAAAUAUGUAAAAUACAAAAGAAGAAAAAAGAAAAAAAAAUAAUACAGGAUAAAAUUGAAUUGGGCCUUGCCCAUUUGGGUCAGGCCCAAUUGAUAUGGGCCUGGACCCAAUUGGGUGUCUACAGGUUGGAUUGAUCAAAUUUAUGAUCCGACACCUAGAUCAGUUUAGUUUUAUUAUUAGAAAAAAUUUUUAACUAAUCCAGUUCAAACCACAUUGAAUCAAUAAUAUAAUUAAUAAAUCACUACAUGAAAAUAGAGAUUUAGUGGUUGUUUUUUAGAGGCAUUUUUAAAUAAAUGGCAUAAAGUUUUGUAUUUUUAUAAGGUUAGUAGCAUUUUUUUUAUAAAAUCUCACUAAAUUCUUAUAUAAUGGGAUUUAGAUUUAAAAACGUCACUAAAAAUAUACUUUUAGUGGCAUUGGUUGACCUAAACGCUACUAUAUACUUUCACUUUUAUAAAUUUGGCUACGUUUAUAUAAACGUCGCUAAAAACAAAUCUAUAAACUAAAAAAAAAACUCAAAGAGCAUUUGGUUCCGGGGAAUCCAAAUAUUUUUCAUCAGUAUCUUACUGUUAGGUAUUUGAUUCCCACUUAUGAUUUAGGUUAAUCUGAUUUCAGAGAAAACUGACAGAUUUUUAACAUUACCCAAAGUCCUGAAAUUAGAAACCCACCUCUUCUUAUGGUAGUCUAGGAUCCGAGGGGAGAAGUAGCGUUAUUUUCAAAUUUGACCUGACUAAAAAAUUAUGAAAUAGUCGUUUCUAUUUUGAAAAGCAUAUCUGGUAAUGAAUGCAAGUCAGUUGUUGGUUUCUAGUAGUAAAAAAUUUGGUUUAUAUAUGGCAUUUCGCAUAAAAAAUGCCUUUAAUAAUCCCUUAUAAAAAAAUUUGAAUGGGGUUAUUAAAAGCAUUUCUAGCUAAAAAUACAUUAAAUAAUCCCUUUCAAUUUUUAUGAGAGGAUUAUUCAAAAUAUUUUUUAGGGUUAUUGAAGGCGUUUCUGGCCAAAACGCCUUGAAUAAUGCCCUUCAAUUUUUAUUAAAGGGGAUUAUUCAAGGUGUUUUUGAUCAAAAACACAUUUAAUAGCCCCAUUCAAUUUUUUGUAAAAGAUUAUUCAAGGCAUUUUUUGGCAAAAAAUACCUUGAAUAAUUUCAAAAAAAAAAAUGGAAGGGAUUAUUAAAAGCAUUUUGGGCCAAAAAUGCCUUGAAUAAUCCCUUCUAAUUUUUUAAUUGGAGGGGAUUCUUCAAGGCAUUUUUUACCAUAAAUGCCUUGAGUAAUCCCAAAAAAAAAUUGGAGGGGAUUAUUGAAAGUGUUUUUGGCAAAAAAAUGCAUUGAAUAAUCACAAUUUCCCGCUGCUAAUUUCUCUUAAAUUUCAAAUUCGAGAGACCUACUUUCUACUUUCCUUUCCCCUAUUCAUUUCUUCCAUUUAUGCUCAUUUUGGGUAGCUUUCUUCUCAUUUUUGGCCUAAGUUUCAAUCAUUUUGUGGUCAAUUUUUAUCUUUUUCCUUUCAUUUUUGCAAAUUUCAAGUUAGCUUUCUUGCGUUUUAGGUCCAAUCCUUAAACUUUCUGUUUGAUUUGUUCGGUCAAAUCCUUAAACUUCAUGUCUGAUUUAUUGCAUUUUUGUCACCACUGAAGUUCCAUUGGUAAGCUCUAUUUCAAUAUUGGCAAUUUUCAAUGUUUGGCCAUUUGAUUUAUUGCGUUCUUGCCACCGUUCAAGCUCCACUGGUAAGCUCCAUUUUAAUAUUGGCAAUUUUCAAUAUUUGGCUAUUCUUUUUCUUUUUUACCAAUUUAUUUUGUUAUUGCAGUUUUGAGUUUGAUUUUAUUUUGUUGGUGAGAAAAAUUCAAGAUAGAACAUAAAGUGAAACAAAUAGGGUUUUUCUCUAAAAAACUUAAAAUUGAACAUUGAAUUUAGUUACAAACACGAAUGAAAUUUUAGGUUUAAUUUUUUUUUUCAAUAGAAUAUUUUUGAAAUUAUUAAAAAAUUGUUACUUGUUAAUAUGAAUUUGUUAAUUCAUUCAAUAUAUAUGUAGACACUCAUAUAUGUCUAGAGUCUAUCGCAUCAAUUUUUAUUAUUUUUGCCAUUACUAUUACAUUACUAUACUCUUAGUAUAUUACUACAAUACUAUUAUUAUAAUAUUAUAGUAUUAUAUUAUAUUAUUAUUAUUAUAGUAUGUUGAUGUUAUAUUACUUUUAUUAUAUUAGUAUUAUAUUAUAUUAUAUUAUAAUAGGUUAUCAUAUUAUGGUUAUUAUUAUUAUUAUUAUUAUAUUCGAUAUUAUUAUUAUUUUAUUUUUUUAUCAGAUUUUCUUUCCUUUUUCCUGAUCGGGGCUAAACAAAUUAUGGAAAUCAAAAUCAAAUUAGUUAGUCAAAGGUUUUUAAUGCAGAAUCAUGUUUGGAUAACGGUUGAAUUCAAUGGUGAUUAAAUCCAUGAACAAAAUCAUGCUUGUGUAGAAUAUAAUUCCAGGAUUCAAGCCUGAGAUUGAUUCUAUUCGUUUCCUAAAAUUUGUUAUAAGGGGGCCUAUAAAUUAAACAAGAAAUCAAAGGAAUGAUAGAGAAAAAUAAGUGAAAAGCUGAGGUUAUUAUUUUGGAAAUAAUUUUUAGGCAAUAGGGUUUUCUUGAAAAAUUUGGUUUUCUAAGACUUGGAUUCUUGGGAGUUCUGGGUUUCAUCUAAAGUUUCUAGGUUUAGAUUUGGGAUUCUAAGAUUAGGUUUAGAUUUUUUGAGGGAUUUUGGAGAAUUUGGGAAAAAUCAAUUUUUGUCUAGAAACUUUUAGAAUUUUAGAAAAAUAUAUAAAUUUUUCAAUGAAGUUUUUUAGUGGGAGUUUGAAGUUUUCGUUAAGAUUCCGACAAGAUUCCAAAAACCAACGAAGUUUCUAGAUUUUGGUUAAAUUUGUGUGUAGGUUUUUAGAGAGAAAAUAGAGUUUUUAGGUUAGAGAGAGUAUGGGUAGAAGGUUUAUGAAGCUAAACGUAAAGGCUUGGCUUUUGCACUGGUCCAAAAUGACAACAUUCUGAACACUUUAGAUCUGCGCGUCUACCUAGUAACCCGCAUAAAGAUCUGUGAACAAACCUGACUCAUUUUGCAGUUUGUUUUUCAUUUUCAUUUUAUUUUAUUUAUUUUCUUAAGUUUUUAUUUUAUUUUCAGUAAUUUUUUUAUUUAAUUUUACUAGUUUUCAAAAAAAAAAAGAAAAACCUUUUUUGGAAAAUUAAAGAAGCAAAGAAUAAAAAAAUCUUUUCGAAAAGGAAAAAAAAGCUAAAUAAAAAAAAAUCUUUUCAAAUAAGUUUAAAAAACAAAGAAAUAAAUCUAAAAAUGAAAUCUUUUUCAAAUAAAUUUAAGGAAUCCACCAAACUAUUGAAAAUUUUCAUAAAUUAGUUUUUUUUCAAAAAAAUAAUAGAAUAAUUUUUUCCCUCUAAAUUAUUGAAGGAUUAUUUUUAAAUUAAGUCCUACCACACUAUUGGGAGACUUAAAGAAACUCACAAAAUUUUUAUAAAUCUUUGUAUGAUAAAAUCUCGCCAUGCUAUUGAAAGAUCUGUUUCAAAGUAAGUCCUACCAAACUAUUGAAAGACUUUACUAAUUUUUCUGGAACAAAAUAAAUUAAAAAAUCUAAUGAUGAAGCCUCUUCAGAGUGGGACACUAGUCACUAUGAAUACUCUUGAUGUGAGAAAAUUAUCUUAAAUUGCUAUCAAACUAUUGGGACAAUUUUAAGGCUAAUUCUUGAUGUUAAAUAAUUUGGUAAAUUACAAAUAUGAUCAAGUUUGGAUAAUCUGAAAUGAAACUGGUACCAUUGUUUGGAUGAGCAUUAUGGGGGUGCUAUAACCUUUUCCAUGCUUAACUGUACUCCCAAACCUAAAAUUUGGUUUCGUAGAUUCAAUCAGGUGGCCAAUCACACCUAAACAAAAAGGAUUGGUAGUGACUUCUCUAAUCCAUGUCUAGUGGUAGGUCCACAGAUUUAUACGUUAUGACAAUUUGACGACUCCACUGGAGAACAUCGAGAGUCAAGUCAGUCAAUGAUUGCUUAUUAUCAAAGCCUUACUUAAUAAAUUUGAGAUUAUUUUUUAUCUUUCCUAUUUAUUUCUUUUCAUUGCUUAUACUUGCUUAAUUAUUUAUUUAUUUCUUUUCAUUGCUUAUGCUUGCUUAGUUAAUUAAUUACUUAUUUAUUUAUUUAUUAUAUUUGUCAUUCAUUUGCAUGUGCAUAAUAUAAGCUUGCCACCUAAGCUCUACCUUUAAAAGGGAGUGAAAUACUUAUACCAUUGUGAGAUUUUAUCUUCGUAUGGGCCUGUGAAACACUUUCACUCAAAUUAAACCCUUUCUGCUGGUAGCCUACGCUUGUUGAGGAUCAGGGUGCCUUACUAGUCUGUGAUGGUAAUGAUGUAAGGAACAAUUUGAAAACCUUUUAGAGUUAACCCAAAUCGCAUAUAGUUAACCUUAAAAGCCCAAUCAUAGGUGAAGCUUUAACCUUCCACCCUUCAUAGUCAAUCCAAACUUCAAGGUAAUGCUAUUAUCUUACUUGUUAAAUGGUGCUUAUUCUAUGCUUUUUUUUUUUAUUAUUGAAGUGACUAACUAAUUUACUUAUCUUAUUUUAUUUCUUUUUUUCUUGUGCAUAUUCAUAAACAUACUUAUAGCUUGCAUAGUAUUUUACCCUAAAAGCCAUUUCAACAAAAGCUCUCAUAGACUCCACAAAAUGUCAGGUUUGUGCCUCAUCUAUACUUUUCAGAUGUGACUCACCUAUAAAUGUGAAGUUAGAAUCAAAGAAGAGGUAGUAAGAAGAAAUAGAUUGCUUACUACUUGGCUAUAUUUCCAUACUAUCAAAGGAAGUUCAGUUGCUCCUCAAAUAAAAUGAUUAGAAAAGCCUAUCAGACAUAUGGAACAGCAUGACUCCUUCAAGGUAGGAAGCUUUUUGUCAAAAGUUUAUGCAUAUUGCAUAUAUCUUAUCAAUAGAUGCUGAUAACACACUUAUUAAGGUGAUGGUAUAAUUUUAGGAUCCUUCCUACCUUUGCUUCAUCUUUAAUGAGGUUGAUUUGGUGCUAAUGAUAGAGGAGUAUUUAAUUUUAGUGGGUAUACAUCUAUUAUAUCUAGACAAAAUAUAUGUGAAGAAACACAAAUAAAAAAAUCGUACUAAAUUAGACCAGAUUUUUGAGGGUCGAGGUAAAAUUUUUUGGUAAACUACAAAAUAAAAGUAAAGCUUAGACUUAGAAAGAUAAUAAAACCAACAAUUUUAAAACAAAAAUCGAGCUAAAAUGAUAAUUACUACUUAGAGGGACUACAACCUUAUAGAACCUUCUGGUCAUAUUAGCACUUUCUCGUUAAGAGUGUACUCUAAACUCAUACAAAUUUUUUUUAAUAGGGUCUUAAAGCUUAGGCCUUAAGAUUUUCUAAAGAAGAAAAGGCUUCGAUCAUUUGUUUAUUGUUAGAAGGGGAGUUGUUAUAGUGACCUCCUUAUGCACUGUCAUUUUUUGCUUAUCUUGGGCAUGGCAUAAACCUAAGUUGAUAAACUCGACUGCGUGUUGGGAGAGGAAUUUAUUAGCUUAUACCUCCCUUAAAAGAGGACACUAAGCUAAAACAAUUACUUUUUAUUACCUUUUUUGGGCCUGGACUUGUGUGUAUAUAAAUGAAAAUUAAAAUCCUUAGAUGGUCAGGAAGUCAUCUCUAUAAAGAUGAGCUAAGAGUUAGAAAAAAUGAAUAAAGUCAAAGACCUUAUGAGGUUACGUUACACCUAUCCUACUAUUUAAACUUGUUUACCAUUUUAAGAAAGGUCAGCUUGUACGCAUCUAUAACCAAUUUUUUUGUUCGGGUAUAGUCCAUUAUUUUAUCUCGAUUUAUAAGGUCAAAUGUAGAGAAAGUAAUGGGCAAAUCAAGAAAAUUCUCAAACUUAUUUAUGAUCUUUCAUACUUUGAACUCACCUUCUUUAUUAAUUUUUUCAUUCUGGAUGCAGAGGUAGAGCAGCUUCCAGUUCUUUAUUGAGCUUGGACAGUUUACAAAAUUUUUUUUAUUAAGGUGAGCUAUUACAUAGAACCACUUCUUAUCGUUAGGUGCCUCUUAGUGAAGAAGAACUCCCUAAAUAGAAGGAGGGUAUGAAGAAUAUCUAAGUGUUGGCAAAAAAUUAUGAUUGUUACUAUGUGCCGAAAUGAAUUAGGGGUGAGCUGGUUAAGUGGUAAAUUAUAAAAAAAAAUUUCAAUAAACAAAACAUGAAAAGGGAACCUCAAAUCGACCAUUAUUGAGUUUUAAUAUACCAAAAGCUGACGAGCUUCUAGCUUAUUAGUAUUCGAUUUAAGGUGUUUAACAUUAAUAAACUAUACCCUUUUUUAAAAAGUGAAAGUCAACUCAUAGAAAAUGGAUGUGAUUAGUAGAACACAUAUUAAAGGCAGCCAUCGAGGUUAGCCUUGCCUUUAAGUUCUUCAUGACAUCUUUAUGGAUAAUGCCUAAGAUCAGAGAGUAUAUAUGGGGACCUUAACUAGCUCAUCUGGUUUCAAAAAAGACUCUCAUUCACCUUCAUCUUCUUCGGUUGGGUUAUUUUCUCUUAUCUGCUCUUUUUUCAAACCCUCUUGUCAUUAAAGUCUUUAUUGUUAGAAAACUUAAACCAUUGAGUAAGAAUAAGAUUCUAAGUUGGAAUAGUGGUAGAGAUCACUACAAUAUUAGAAGAAUACGAGGGAUGAAAAGACUUCUAAAAUAAAGAAAAGACAUUAAUGAGAGUUGAUUGCGAUGGAAAGAAAGAAAGAAUAUGAGCAUUGAUAAUAGAUUGAAGAGUAGAAGAGUUAGAAAGAUGAUGAGGCUAAACCUCAAAAGAAGAAAUAGCCAAGGAAGAAUGAAUGUCAUUUGAAAAAGUUGGUCCGAUCUAAAAGAUUAAAAAAAAAAGAUUCUUUAAUUCAAAAUCAAUUUAAGCACACAACUCGUCCACAUUGAGGAGCUAUUCUCUUUGAGCUUGAGCACUAUCUCCAGCCCCUUUUACUCUUUCUUAAACAUUGGGUUCAGCCAGUAAGCCAUUUUAUUAUAGUUUUAACUAGCAAUGACUAAUGGGACUAGGUCAUCAUCAUCGUGCUUGAGCCUCUCUAGGCGCUACCCUAUAACUACCUUUACCCUGGAACUAACGCUAGUAGACAUGAUGAAAGGAUACGUACCGAAGUGAGAAGGGAGAGUAAUUGGAAAGAAAGAAAAACUUUAAGAUUGGAAGCAGCUUGAAAGCUUUUAGGUUAGAAGAUUAAGGUCGGAUCAAGAGUGAAAAAAUAAAAUAAUGAAAAAUAAAAGUCCCAAUAACCCUUUAUAUAGUUGCAUCUCAUAUCAGAUUAAUAGUCCAAAUCAUGCCACAUGUUAGAAUAUCAUUAGAGAAUGUCUUUUCACCUUUACCACUUUGGAUUUUACUACUUAAAAACCUUUUUCCUUAUUAAAUGUGAUCUUACGCAUUUGAAUUGGCCAGAUUGGUCAAAGAGUCUAGGUUGAACCUGUUGGGUGAACCAAUUCCCAUAUCAGCCCCAGGUAGACAAUGAUCAAAUUCUAGAAAAUACUAAGUUUCACCUCAAGGUGAACAAACCUGGCCGGCUCGUCUAAAUGCUCUUUCAUCUUCACCUCGGACAACCCAAAUCAAAGUCACUUCAGUAAUCCCUGAAUAGAUCAUAUACCAACCUAAAGUACAUGCAUAAAAUUAGACUAAUGCCAGGUUAGCAUAAGCCAAAACCCGUCUAGAUCGAGUCAAACAACAAAUGUAGACCUCUAACACUUAUCCAUCAUGUUAGCCGCAUAAAUAUUCGACCUUAGUGAUAAAAGGUCAGAUCCUAGGCAAUUUUUCAAAGCCCAUAUUUUUAGAGUUUGAGUUCACAAACAUAUGUAAAAAAAAGGCUAAUCACACUCCAAACAAUGUAAUACUUGGACUAUUUGGCGAUGGGACCGAAUGUCAAGGGCAUUUAGUGGUCAAAAGGGUAUUGUAAUUUUUUCCCUUAUUAGAGAUUCUUAACAAACAACUAGGGGCAUUUUGGACAUUUGGGCCAACUUAACAUAUCAGACUGACUUGACAUAUUUAGUACCAUAUUAGUUUGGUCAUGUCACUAUUGCUCCCUAUGGGCCCCUCGCCUUUUGCCUAUAAAUAUGGACAUCCAAAGUACUAUCAUUUCAUUCUAUAUCUUGCUCCAAUUUCCUAUCUUUCUUGCUUUCUCUCUUUUUGACCUUCUUUAUAUCAUUCUUUGGCUUACGUGUUAGAGUGCAAAUGUAGAGAACAUUCAUUGCCUUUGCUUCUAACUUUUUUUUUCUUUUUUUUAUCUUUUUAGAGAUACCUUUAAGUUGAAGCUUGGCACAAACAAUGGUAUUGAAGGAAGUUUUAGGCUAGGAAUUUUUAAAGGAGAGGGAGCCUAGGACAAUGUGAGAGACAGUUGAAAAUAGAGGUUUUUGAAAUGAUGGAAUGUGGGGAUUUUUUGGUUAGAGUGAAAACUUUCGUGCUAGGUUUAGGAAAUCUACAAACUUUUGGAAAAAUCUAAUCUUGUUGGUUGAAAAAAAGGAUCAAGGGGAGUUUCUUGUUGUUUUUUGGAAGCCAACCAACAUCGAUGAGUGGCAGUCGACAAUGACUAAAGGUGGAAAAGGUGGCAGCCAGUGGCAGCAAAUUGUAGGAAUCUGGGAUUAGGUAGCUAAUGUUCUUGGAUUUUGAGAGUGUUGAAAGCUUUUUUUAAAGGAAAUGUUUACAAUGAAAUAAGAAAAAACAUAUCUUUUAUAAAAAAAAAUGAAACGAUUAAUGAGCUGGAUUGGACCUAAGGUUUACGCACCCAACUUGUGCUAGGCUGCAACUGGUCAUCCUUGGAUUGGUCCAAUCAAACUGUGACUAAAUUGGUCAAAUAUGUCUCAUCACCUAAAUAGUCUGAGGAACCAUUGAAUUGGACCAAACCAUUAUUAAACUAUUGACCAAUUUUGACCAACUUUUUUGGAUAAUUUUUUUAUUUGUAUACUUUAUUAAGUUAUUUAUUUGUUUAUCUAUACACUUUUAAAUUUUAAAAAUAAAUAUAUAUUUUAAAAAUCUUCAAAAAAAAUCAUUCGAUGAUGAAAUAUUAAGGAAAUAUGAGUAGUGAUUCCUUAAAAAUCUUUAAGUGAUGAUAUUUUUCUAAAAUGCUAUUAAAGUACUGGAAUAUUUAGGAAGAUAUUCAAUACAAAAUAUUUCAUUUACUUAUUUUUUAUAUUGUUAAAAUUAAAAAAAAAUAACGAAUGAGUUUUUUUAGGAAUAAAAUUACAUAUAAUAAUGCAUGAAUAUUAUUGACAUUAAUUAAUUAAAAAAUACGAUCAUUCGAAAAUGGUAUUUUAAGGAAAUCCUAGUGGUGAUUUCUAAGAAAUCUAUAGGUGAAAAAAUUUCUCCUAAUGUUACCAAUGUCUUUGAAUGUUUCAAGAAAUUUUCAAUAACAAGUUUCCAAUUUAUUUUUCAAAUAAAAAAGGAAAUAAUAUUUUUUAUUUAAAGUAAAAGAAUUAAAAAGAGAAAAUUUUUUGAAGGAAAUUAAACAAAUCAAAAUUAUGAUAAAAAAGGUUAAAAAUAAUUUUUAAAUAUCAAAAUUAAAACUUUUUUUAUCACUAUUAAAGGAUAACACAUGAUUACUCUAUAAUGUUUUAAAAAGGUCAAUGUGGCAUAUUAAUUUUUCUCCACAUAUAAUCGUAUUUUCAAAUUUAAAUUAUUUUGACAAACAUAAAAAUUAUAUUUUUAAUAAAUUUUAAUUAAUUUUAAAUUUUAUUAAAAAUAUAAAAUUUUUUAAGUGAUCAAUCACAUUUGACCAAAAUAAAUAAUAACCACUUAUAUUUUUCAAUUCGAAUGGCGGUUCUCAAAAAUAAAAUAACUAAUUAAAUAUGUAAAGAAAAAAUAGAAUUUAAAUAAAAAAUAAAAAAUAAAAUAAAAACGAAGGAAACUGACGCACGGCAGGUCUUAUAUCCAUUAAGUAAAACUUACACUGAUUAAUAUCUAGGAUAUAUAUAGAUAGAUAUAAUCGCAAUUAAAGACUUUGAAGGCUUGAAAUGCUGCCCUAAAUUUCUUGGCCCAUCUGCCUCAUUUGUUUAAAACAUACUCUGUGUUCGUGGUGGAUUUGGAUUCGGUUAGAUUCCUCGGCAGAAUGGGCUCUUUGACGGUUGCAGAUUUUAAGAAGAAAAUCAUGUCUCGUUGUUAUGUAAUAAGUUGAAUGAGCCACCAACCACCUUCGUCGCCAUUUUUUACUGGACCAGGUCAUUCUUUUUUACUCAAGUAGAUUCUCGAAAUUGCACGAUUGUAGGAAGCUUAGCUACCUUGCUACACCAGCUCACCACAGACUUCUUUGAACUUGGUCGAUUGUUUUGAACAAUACAUUAUUCUUGGAAUUCAAACAAAAAUGGUUGGAAUUCAAACUAAACUUCAAUUAAAGUGAUUUUUUAGCUCUUAAUCAUGUUCUGUACGUACUUUAAAUUCAUUGGAUCUAAAAUAUCUAACCAAAUACAAGUUGAUUAAUGGUCCUUUUUCGGAUAGGUAGUUGUUGGUCAUGUCAAUGGUCUAUAUAGUAGUAUAUAUUGGCAUGUUGUGUCACGAAUUAUAUCUCAAGUGAUAACAAAAAAUUAACCCAACUUCUAUAGCUCCAAACUAAAGCUUUCUUCAUGGCUCUUCAAUCCUCCAAAAUUUUGGUUACUACCUCCAAAGUUUUAGAUCAAAAAAUUGUUAGGCGAUCUGCUAAUUACCAUCCUACAAUUUGGAAGACGAUUAUGUUUAGUCGCUCAAGAGUGAUUAUAUGGUAUGCAGAAUGCUAAUUACCGAUGUGUGUGUGUGUAUAUAUAUAUAUAUAUAUAUAUAUAUAUAUAUAUUUGAGCAUGACAGGUAGCUAAUAGAGUUGCUCAUCGUCGAUGUAUAGGGCGAAUCAUAUGGUGAACGAGCAGUGAAACUGUUGGGAGAAGUGAAAAUGAGGCUUGACAAGUGGUGGAUCCUUUGGAGCAACUCUAGCUAGUCGAUGCGGUAAAGAGACUCGGAUUAUCUCAUUACUUUGAGAAUGAAAACAAGAGGAUUUUGGAGUGUGUAACGGCUGAUCAUAACAAUUUAUAUGCUACAUCACUUGAAUUUAGACUCGUAAGGCUGAAUGGGUAUAAAGUAACUUCAGGUAAAGGUCCAAGUAGUCCAAAUAGGCUCCUAUAAUACUUUUUCAAGCUUAUUUGGCUACAAAUUCAAUAGAAAGGAGUGCUUGGAAUGCUUCGAAGAGUGUUCCAACCUAAUCAAGUUUUCAUCUGUGAUUGGACGACUUGCGGAUGAUCUUGGAACAUCAUCGGUAUGAAAUAUACAAGCAUCAUUGCUUGCUGUGAAUUGAAAUAUAUUUAUGUAAUGCUUUACCCUUUGGAUUUUCUUGAUUAGGAUGAGUUGAAAAGAGGCGAUGUUCCUAAAUCAAUCCAAUGUUACGUACACGAACUGGAUGAAGAAGCCCGUCAGCACAUAGGGGCAUCGAUUGAUGCAUGGUGGAAAAGGCUAAACGAAGAGCGAUUUGCUCAUUCUCAUUUUUCUCAGACGUUUAUUCAAAUCGCAUUGAACGUGCCAAGGAUGUUUCAAUGCAUGUACCAGCAUGGUGAUGGCCAUGGGGCUGGAGAUCGUGAGACCGAGGAUCGUGUAUUAGCAUAAAUCGUUUUUCCUAUUCCAUAAGAGUAUUCAGACCAAAAUAAUUGGAGGUGAGGUGAUAUAGCAAUCCUUUUGUAAUAACUUUUUUCAGUUAAAUUUCCAAAUCUUGAGCCUCUAUAAAUAUAAAUUCAAAUAAUUGAUAAGUUUGCUGCUCUUAGCGAGUUUAUAGGUAACAAAAUUUCUCUCUCUAUCCAUCUCAAUUAGCUUUGUAAUAAUUUUGCUACGCUAGUGUCUUAAUUCCUUGAACAUGUGAUUUGGGUUUUUUUAUUAGUUUAUCUUUUCUAGAUCAGAUAUAAACAUGUCCAUGAAUCGGGCUUAAUAUUUGGUCCGCAAGUAAAGUUUUUAUUUAUUUAUGUUAAUUUGGUUUCUAGUCUAAUUAUAUUUUCAGCCAUAAUUUUACAUUAUAUUAAAGAGCAAUAUAUUAAAUUCCCGCAAAUAAAAAUAUUUCUUAGCCAAUUCCUUUAUUAUUAUUUUUAUUAUAUCCCUAAUUAAGUGUAAUAAUUAAAUUUAUCAAAUUACUUAAAAAAUUGUUAGAAUAAAAACAUAUAAUAAUUACCAUACACAUUGCUUCCUACCUUCAAGAAUUUCGUGAUACACAUUGUAAACAAUUUGUUCAACCCAUACUCUUUUCAGUCUUCAAUCAAUUAAUUAGGAUACACACUAGCUACGGAAUUUUUUUCAAUGGACGAAAAUCUUAAACUAACUCUUUUGAUAAAAAAAAUAUAUAUGCGCUUAUUAUUUCGUACAAACACUAUACCAAAAAGAAAAAUGGCUACAGAUUUUGUUUUUUAGCGACAAGAGAAUUUUUAAUUUUAUCUAAUAUAUUUUUUCUUGGAACUGAUUUAAAUGAAUUUAUUUUCAAGGCCGCAUAGACCUAGGCGCACACCUGUCUGAAGAAGAAUUAUAUAUAACUGAUCGGUUGCCAUCCUGAUUUAAUUUAUAAGAAUAGAUUCGGAAGAUACCAUCCGGAUCAAUUUUCAUCAGAUAGAUUGUUUCCUUGGUAUCAUAUUCUCCUAUAAAUAUAUCCUUUAUGUUGACUCCUGCCGAAUUGAGUAAGUACAGACGGCCAUCAUUGUCGAGAUUCAAGCUCACAUUGUCUCCUUUACCAAAUGUAUUAGAUGCCCAAUACGCAGACCAUUCUGUCCAUGUAUAAUUUGCCACCGGGUAUUGUAUAAGGUUCCCAUUGGUCUGCAUAUUAAGACAAAAGAAUCCUUUCGACUGAUCAGUAUCUGAGACGCUAGAGUAUAGCUCUGUCCCAGCUAAGAGCUUUUGUCCUUGAAGAACGGUAGUGGUAGGGUAUUUAAAGCUCUCCCAGAUUUUUUCUUGGUCUGAAUUGUAUAGAACAAAAUUGCCAGAAUCAAGCAUCGAAGCUGUGGCAACUUUUUCGGUAGAAUCAGUAAUGGAUAUAUCUCGUGUUGAUCUCAGAAUGAGCCUUCCAUCAGUUGUAAGAAUAUUUUUAGCGCUGCUUGGAACAGGAGGAUCAUCUCGGCUGGCCGUCCAAACCACAGUCUUCUGUUGAACUCCAGCAAGAAAAAUUCUAACAGCAUACCCCUUAUCUUGCUGAUAAAAUCCAAAGGCAUAUAGGCCAGAAGGGGAUAGCCAUACGGGUUGGCCUGUGGGUGUUAGAGACGAGCCUAGACUUAUAUUGGAAUGCUUUGGUUGAGCUACGGCAGUUGAAAUGAUGGAGGUAGACAGAAGAAAAAGUAAUAAAAUGGCAGCCAUAGCCAAAGAGUAUAGAUUCAAUUCCUUUCUCCGGUUUUAUGAACUUAAGAGUUAUAAAAUUGUUAGAUUUAUGCUUGAAAAGUUUCCGAUCGCCAAGAGAUGGGUCUGAAAUGUCUUCCCAUUAUUUUCCCAUUCAAAACGGUAAGGCCUUAAUAUUAUUGUCUUCGUCAAGAGACUUAUGCAUGCACGAUUUCUCGUCCUCCCGAGCACCAAUUCAAAGUCUGGGGAUAUUUAGCGAAGUUUCUGCAAAGAUUUUUCCAUUGCAACUAUUCAAAGGGUUUUCGUUUAUUACAAUUAACAAGGUGGCCCUAAAACGCGUUUUAAUACAUACAUAGCAAUUCUUCAAGAAUCUUAUUUCAUUUCUCCCUUACCCCUACGACGUUAUCUUAUUCAAAAAAAUUUAAACUUAUGUAUUCGUAAAGUCGAGAUUUUAUAUUCAUAGAGCAAGUCUAAUAAGCAACUCAUGAUAAUUUGAUUUAAGGUAAAUUAUUUAAAAAAAAAAAAACCCUGUGGUCACAGGCCAAAUAAUUUUGAUCCUUGAAAAUAUAAAAAGUGCCACGUUAUUAUACCCUGAGAUUUCUUUCAUUAAUUUCCAAAUCAACACUAUUACAAAAACGUAUAUGACAUUAUCAUUGAUAUAUAUGACAUUGAUGGAGGUAAGUGUAACAAGAAAUUCAAAGAAUAAAGGAUAAUAAAGCAAGUUUAUUAAUAUCAUAUCGUAUAAUAUUUUAAUUUUUUUUUAAAAGUAUAUGUUAAUAUCAAUUGUUUCGAUAUAUUAUUUUAGAUUUUUUCAUUUAAUACAAAUAUAUUUAUAAAUAAACAUUAAUUUGUACAUAAUAAUACUAUUAAUAAUAGGCAAAAUAAAUAUAAAACACUUUAAAAAACUAAAUAAAUAAGUUUAAAAGCACAACAAAAAAUAUCAUUAAUUUAUCAUGAUAUUUUUAAACAUUUAAUCUGAUCAUAUGAUAUUUAUAUAAAUAAUUGUUCAUGUAAAAUUAAGAUAAAAGUAAAGAGAUGAAAAAGAAAUUAAUUUUAACUUUACGAUUCUUAAACUUUAAGGAGAGAGCACAAUUACUUUCUUGAAAAAAAUUAAAAUACUUAUAAUUAUUUGUUUGAAAAAAUAAAGUGUAAAAGAAAACAAGUUAUUGUAAAAAAUAAAGAAAUCCAAAUUUUAAGGGUUCUUUUACUCAUUAAUUUUAUUUUUAUUAUGUUAUAAAAAGUCAAACAACAAAAAAAAUUAAAAAUUAUAAAACAUAUUUUACAUUCAAAUACUAGCUGAAACAAGUUAUUCUAUCAAAGUUCACCCCAAUCAACUGAAACAAACAAAAAUAACCUGUUUAUCCAAUAUAAAUUCGAUAAAAAAACUCUACUCUUAAUUAUAUUGUAUUUUAAUAUAACUGAAGCAUGUUAACCGAGAUGACCAAUACUAAAAUGAAAUUUACAUCAAUGUAACGAAAAAAAAAAAAAAGAAAGGGAAAUUGAUAAAUGAUUUUGACUUUAAAAUAACGAAGAAAAAAAAAAACCUCAAAAGGGGUUAGUGUAACUUUUUUUUUUUAAGCCACGGAGCAUAUUUUAUUAUUUGUCUUUAACCGUACGGUGAAAUUUUACAUCCAAGUUAUAAUUUAAAAAGAAAAACAAAAGAUGUUACAAAUGUCAAGAGAAAAUAAAAUACACUUCUAUUGUUUAAUUAAGGGGUUUCUUUGGAACUCAGGGUUUUGCACGAGGAGUUUUCAUAGUCUUGUCAGUAUGCAGGUGUUCUUAGUUUCAGUAUAUUAGAGUAGUAAUAAGCUAUUUUAAGAACUCCGUGGUUAAGAUCUCAUGAAGUUAUGAUAAUUGCAGACGAGUUAGAAAGCAAAUGGUCAAAGCUAAAGCUAAUUUAAGAAGAAAAAGAGGGCAUUGAAUUUGAGGGGCUAGAAGAGGAAUUGAAUCCAUUGGAGGUCUUUCAGUUAGUGGGGAAGCUACUAACAACAAGAUGUUCAAUAGGGAAACAAUGAUCAAUACAUUCCAGAUGAUAUGAAAGUUGGCCUGAGAGAUGACAAUGAUGGUGUUGGAACCAGACUUAUUCAUCUUUAAGUUUGGGUCAAAGAGUGAUAAGAAGAGAGUCCUCGAAGAGUCGUCAUGGUCGUUUGAAAAGAACCUUUUAGUUUUUAGAAAGUAUAAUGGUGAUCUAAAGCCAACAGAUUGCUCUUUUGAUAGAGCAAAGUUUUGGAUUAUGGUGUAUGUGUUGGCAUUGAAAAUGCUGACCAAAAAUAUGGCAAAAAGGGUAGGAAUGAAAUUGGGAGUAUUGAAAGGUGUGGACCAUUACUGUUUGUUUUCUAUGGGUGGAAUCUUCUUAAGAAUAUGAGUGGAAAUAGAUAUCACAAAGCCUUUGAGAAGGUGUGUUUUUAUUGUAGGGAAGAACAAAGAAGAUGGCUUAUAGAGGCAAUUAAGGUAUGAGCUUCUCCCAAAUUUUUCCUAUGUAUCUAGGAAACUGUGCUAUACUGAAUUGGAUUGUGGAAUGGAAGCAGAGUUAGAAAGAGAAAGAGAGGACAAGCAGUAUGUGUAAUGGAUGCGAGCUUCACCAAUAAAAAGAGGAUGCUUGGCUUAUAUGACCAGAAACCAAUACCCAACACGUAAACAGUACAAUGAAGAGAAAGAAAGGCCUAGCAUGCCCACGAACAAAUAUGGAAGUGGGGAUGUGGGAGGAACAAUUGUCAGCCCCAAAUCUAAAGAUUUAGGAUGUAACAAUGCCGUGUACUCAUGAGACAAGUCCCACGAGCAUGCAAGGUAAUAGAUAUUAUACUAAUCAAACUCCAAAAUAUCAUAUUAAUUUAAAAUCAAACUCCAAAGGGUAUUCAAAAUUUAUAGUUUACAAACCAAAGUCUCUGAAAUUCACGUGUUACAUUUGAUCAAAAAAUACAACAAUAUUUUAAUUUUAUUAUAUCAAGGUACGUAUAUUACAAGCUAUAUGAUGACAAAAGAUAGAUGAAGUCUUGCAACAUAAUAUUUUGUUAAAACUAAGCCUUGAAGAUGCAAAUAUAGAAAUAUGAAAAGUAAAAAAUAAAUUAAAAGAAUGAAUAUGAUGACUCAGCAAGUAACCAACGUCUUUUCAAUUGGAUUAGGCAUGUCACAAAAUAUUUAGGCCAAAAUAUAACUAAAAGAUUAAAAAAUAUUUUGGCUAAUCUUGACUUCGCAAACAUAUUUUCACAAAACAUAUUCUCAAAACCAGAUUCUCAAAUCAUAAAAUAGAAUCAAAUAUCACAAAAUUAUAAAUUUUAUUAGUUUUCUGUAACGUACUAUGACCACACUUAACUCAUGUGAUAUAGGAUAGAAUAAAAAUUUUUCUUCUAGUGCAAUAGGACAAACGUAUGUUAGAAAUAACUAGGUCGUUACACUAACAAUCAUAAUUAACCCAUUAGUACAAUGAGACAGAACAAAAAUCACAAUAACCCUUUUAGUGUAAUGGGACAUAAUUAUGUCACUGAUGGUACGAUGACCAAAAAUCACUAUUUUCAAUAGGUGGCACAGUUUGAAACCAGUAUCAAUAUCACAAAAUACAUGUUGACAUAGCCAACAAUUAAUCCUCAUUGGCAAGCUCAGAACAUAGUCAUAUUAGGAGACAAAAAAUCAAAAUAUAUUUUCAGAUUACCUAACAUACACAAAUUAAAUAUUUAUAAAUUUUCUCAAAACAUAAUCCAUACAAAGUAAAAUCUAUAAUCAUUCCAUAAUGAUUAGUUUGUCCUUAGCUAAAUCCAUGUCUCCUUACUAACUUUCCAAAGCCAUCAAACCAAGCCUUCAAACCAAGCCUUCAAUGAUUGUUUUAAACCAUGAAGAGACUUUUUCAAUUUGCAUACCUUCAUGUCAUUGUUUUCCUUUCAAAAUCAAGAGACAAAUCCAUAUAAACUUCUUCAUCUAGCUCCCCAUUAAGAAAGGCAUUCUUGACAUCCGUUUGGUGUAAUGGCCAAUUAAGAUUAGUAGUUAGUGAAAGUAGUACCCUUGUAGUAUUCAAUUUAGCAAUUGGAGCAAAGGUUUCAGUGUAGUCUACUUUAAAAGUUUGAGUAAAUCCCUUUGCAACUAAGUGGGUCUUGUGUCUAUCUAUUCCACCAUCUGAACUAUACUUAAUAGUAAACAUCCAUUUACAUCCAAUUGGUGUUUUUUCUCUAGGUAACUCCAUAACAUCUCAAGUCUCAUUCCUUUUCAAUACUGUCAUCUCUUUAAGUAUAGUAGCUUACCAUUCUAAGAUUUUUAGAACUUCAUGAAUAUUUUGUAAAAUUUUAGUUACCUUAAUCUUUUUUUAUCAUAGCGUGAAAUGUAGUAGGCAAAUGACUGUAUGAUAAAUAAUUGGACAAAAGGUGUUGAGUGUAGGAUCUUACACCUUUUUUAAGUGCUAUACGUUUAUAUAGACCAUUAGGUGGAGUAUUCACUGGUAAUGGUGUGGUAGGAACAAUCUUUUCUGAUUCAAAAUUUACUUGUGAAUCGGUAUUCAGUGGUGAUAAUGUUAUAGGCUUAGCAUUUUCUAAUUCAGAAUUUACUUAAGGAUCAAAUUCUUGAUAAUAUGGCCAGGACACAAAAAUUUAUACUUCUUGAAGCUAUGGUUUACAUCAUGAAUAAACGCAGAUCUCUGUUGUUUAUUAAGGAUUAACCAUAGAUGAAUCUAUCCCUAUUUCUAACUUAGCAUAUGUUGGUGACACAAUAGGAAUAGUAGAUGUUAUAAGAAUUGGAAUGGAAUAUUCUUAAAGCCUAUCUUCACCUAGUAUCUCCCCAUGAAGAAUUAGUUUUGGGUAAAAGGGUUGAUUUUCAAAGAAUGUGACAUCUAAUGAGACAAAUAUUUGUUUCAUGGAUGAACAAUAGCACUUAUACCUUUUUUUAAUAGAAGAGUACCUAAUAAAAAUAUAUUUUAUAGCUCUAAGUUCUAGUUUUCCACAAGAUGGACUUUUGUUGUUAACAAAAUAUGUGCAACCAAAGACUUUUAGGGAUAAAGAGGUAAAAAUCAUAAUUCACAGAUAUGAUUAAGGUAACAUGUUCAAUGGUGUGUUGAAAUUGGGAACUCUAAUAGAAAGUUUAUUGAUAAAGUUUGAGGCUAUUCAAAUAACAUCUUUCAAAAAACACUUGGGAACUUAUUGGUAAACAUGAUAGAUGAACAACUUUAAUAGAUGACUAUUUUUACGUUUUAUAAUCCCAUUUUGUUGGAAGGUAUUAACGUAAAAACUUGGGUGAAAAUUUUCAUUUUCUUUUAAAUAAUCACCGAGAAUUGAAUUAAAGUAUUGUCUGUGUGAAAAUUUUAGAUUAAGCUUGAAAUUGUGUUUGAAUCAUUUUUUGAAAUUGUUGAAAAAUUGCUUAGCAUCUGACUUAUUUUUUAAUAAGUAAACUCAAUAAGCUCUGUAUGAUCAUCUGUAAAUGUCAUGAAUCACCUAGUUCUAAUUAUGUUAUUUUCCCAUAAAGGUCCCCAAAUAUCAUUAUGAACUAAAGAAAAAUAUUUAGAAAUCUAUACGGAUGACUAGGAUAAGGAACAUGAGUGUGUUUGGCAAGUUGAUAAGUUUCACAACAAAAAGAAUAGACAUCUUUAUUCUUAAAAAAAGAAGGAAAAAGAAAUUUUAGAUAUAGAAAACUAAGAUAUCCUAAUCUAUUAUGCCAUAACAUAAUUUCACUAAAAACAGAAAUAGAUUCACCACUUAGAGCCAAACCUUGUUUAUUCACUUGUUAAGGAUUUUCAAAGUCGUACAAGCCUUCAUGCUCCUUAAUACUAUCAAUUAUCCUCCUUGAAAGUAAAUUCUUAAACUCAUAAUAUAAAAUAUAGAACUUAGCCAUACAAUUCAAGUCAUUUGUCAAUUUACUAAUGGAUACUAAAUUAGGAACAUGCAAAACUGAAAAUAGUGUCAUAUUAAAAACUUUAAUGUUUCUUUCUCCAGUAAUAGAGGAUAGUGAUCUAUUAGCAAUAUGAAUCUUAAGGCUUUUAGAAUAUGGAUUAUAUGUUGAAAACAAUUCAUGGCGUCUAGUUAUAUGCUUAGAUAACCCAAAAUCUAUAAUCCAAGAUGUAGACACCCAAUUGGGUCCGGGCCCAGAUCAAUUGGGCCUGACCCAAAUGGGUAAGGCCCAUUUCAAUCCUGUAUAUUUUUUUUUCUUCUUUUGUAUUUUAUGUAUUUUAUUAUUAUUAUGUAUAUAUUUAUUUAUUUUUUUUAUUAGAUUAGAUUUAUAUGUAUAUAGUUAUAUAUUUAUUAUUAUUAUUAUUAUUUUUUUUUUUUUGUAAUAUAUACUUGGGUUUAUCUUAUUUUAUUAUUAUUAUUAUUAUUAUUAUUAUUUUUAAUUAUCUGUUCUGAUUUUUCCUGAUUAUCAGAUUUUUUUUAUAUCUUUUGAUUUAUCUGAUUAUUAUCUAGUAUUUUUUUUAUUUUUGAUUUUGGAGGGCUAAGAUUGAAGUUGAAGAAUCCUACCGGGAAUGGGAAUUCAAUCAAGAGAGUCCAAUUGGAUUCAAAGACUGAAUUCCCGUCCAAGGAGGAAUUGGGAUUGAUUAGAAACUCCUGAUCAAUCCCUAUAUAAAGCACCUCCUGGAACAGUUCAAGAACACAGAAAAAACAGAAGCAAAAGCUACUGAUUGAGAGAAUAGGGGUGUUUAGAGAGCUAAGGAAAAGUUUAGGAGUGUUCUGGCAGUGAGAAAAAUUUUUUAGAAAAAUUUGGCGAAAAAAUUUUCUGGAAAUUUCUGGGAAAUUUCCAGAUUCCGGCGAAAAUUCCGGCGACUUUUGAAUUUUCCGGCGACAAUUCCGACGAACUUUGAAGUUUCCGGCGACAGACCCAAUUUCCGGCGGAGAAUCCCAGAAACCGGCGACCAUCCGGCCAACUUUCGGCCAAUUUCCGGCGAAAUUCCCAGAUUCCGGCGAAUUUUCCAGAAUCCGGCACCGACGUUCUUCAAAUUCUAGAGAGAAGGCAGAGAAGAAGGGAAGAAGAGAGAGAGAGGGGAGGAACGGUCUGCUGAAAAACGGAGGAAGGUGCCUUUUAUACCCUCCCAAAACGACGUCGUUUUGGCUUUAAGUUAAUAAGAGGAUCCGCGCGUUUUGCCGAACCCGACCCGACCCGAAGCGUAGACCCGCUUUCUGACCCGCGCGUUUCAGCCCCUCCGAGCUGAGCCGAGCCGAGCCGAGCCGCACCAAGUCGAGCCGCGAUCCGAGCCGCUCCAGGUUUUUUUUUUUUUUUUGAAUUUUUUUGAAUUUUUUUUUAUUUGACUUUGAUUUUGAUCUUGAUUUUUUUUUCUUUAUUCUUUAAUUAAUCCGACGACGGAGCCUCUACAAGUAAAAACAGUAGUUUUUCUUACAUACUCCUAAGGUGAGGGAAUUUUCUCAAUUUUCUGCUAAAAGUAUUAGAGUCAAUUGAGAAUAAUUUCCGAUAAUUAAUUACUUGGCUGAUUUUGAUUUUUUUUUCUUUAAUUAAUCCGAUUCGACGGAGCCUCGCAAGUGAAACAGUAGUUUUUUCUUGCAUACUCCUGAGGUGAGGGAAUUUUCUCAAUUUUCUGCUAAAGUAUUAGAGUCAAUUGAGAAAUAAUUUUCGAUAAUUAAUUAAUUGGUUGAUCUUGAUUUUUCUUUAAUUAAUCCGACGACGGAGCCUCUGCAAGUGAAACAGUAGUUUUUCUGCAUACUCUGAGGUGAGGGAAUUUUCUCAAUUUUCUGCUAAAAGUAUUAGAGUCAAUUGAGAAUAAUUUUAGAUAAUUAAUUAAUUGGUUGAUCUUGAUUUUUCUUUAAAUAAUCCGACGACGGAGCCUCUGCAAGUGAAACAGUAGUUUUUCUUGUAUACUCUUGAGGUGAGGGAAUUUUCUCAAUUUUCUGCUAAAAGUAUUAGAGUCAAUUGAGAAUAAUUUUCAACAACUAACUACUUGGUAAAAUUUUAAGGCUUUUGGAUAACACAAAUUCAAGCUGGUACCAUCUUUUGAUGGGCGUUGUGAGGGUGCUAUAACCUUCCUCACACGUAACCGAACUCCCGAACUCUGUUCUGGUUAAGCAGACCCGAACCUAUUCUUUUAGGGACCCUUAAGCUUAGGUGUUCCCUAAAAGGGCAGAUUCCUUAGGUGGCCAAUCACACCUGGAUAAAAAAGAUUGGUGGCGACUCCCUAAAGUCAAUGUCUGACGAUAGAUCCCCGGAUCUAGACGUUAUGACAGCUUGGCGACUCCGCUGGGGACUUGAGAGUCAGGCCAGCAAAUAAUUUGUGUUAUCUAAAAGCCUAAUAAAAUUGAACCAUUUUUGUAUAUAUAUGUUAUUGUUCAUUCAUGUUUAUUUACUUUGUUAAUUAUGUCAUUCAUGUGCAUGUGCAUAACAUGAGCUCUAUACCCGAGCUCCGUCCCUCUAGGAGGGAGUAAAGUACCUAUUGCUUUCGUGAGGUCUAAUGCCUCCGUAGUGGCUAGCGAAAUACUCCCACUCAAAUUGAACCUUUUCCGCUUGUAGCCUGUAAUGGGUGAGGAUUAGGGUGCCUUACUAGUCUGUGAUGGACAAGGAUGUAAGGAACAAUUUGAGGACCUUUAGACUCUGACUUUAAAACUACAUGUAGUGAACCUUAAGAGUGCCUAACCCUAAGAUAGAGCCCUUUCUACCCAAUGAUAGAUAUGCCUUGAAAUUAGGACACAAAAAGGGUGUUUGUCUAAUCAUUUUGAUUGUUUAACUUUGUGUGUUAUUUUUAUUAUAUGUAACAUUAUGCAUCAGCAUCACUUUCGUUUCAUCCACGAAACUAACCAUGUUGUUUGUCUGAUUGUAUGCAUCUGUAUUCUUUUCAUGAUCAUGUUUCAACACAAUCAUUUGCAUUCAUUUCAUACUAGAUUUCAUUUAGAAAAAUGUACAUUUCAUUUGUAUAUCAAAGCAUCAUACAUAAGGCACAGCAUAACAUUUCUAAUCAUAAGUAUGGUACUCAAGGUCCCAGGAUAGCUCCAUCUAGCGAAAACCCUGCUCAUCCAUACAACACAAGGUCCAGAGCAAGGCAAAUGGAGGAAGAAAGUUCUCAUAGAUUUGAAAAGCUAGAAAAAGCUCAGGAGAAGAUUGAAAAUGAACUUAGCAAAAUUUUGGAGGCCCUCAAUAACAUGAAUAAGGGGAAAGGGGUUGAAGGAAAUACAAGCCAACAAGUUCCCCAUUUACAAGAAGUGGCUGACCCUUUGUACCCUCCAGGUUUUGGCCCACCUCAAGCCCAGUCUGCCCAAGAGGUCCCGCCACAACAUUUCGCCUAUCCUGGAAUGCCAUCAGCUUUCAACCCAGGGCAGUAUAACAGCUAUAUAAAUCCUGUCUUCACUGAAAAGGUAGCAGAACCAAUUCCUGAUCUAGAAGAGAAGGAGAAGGAGAAGGAAAAGAUGAGAGUAGAGGCUGAGGAAAGUUCCAAGAUUAGCAUGCUAGAGCAGAGGCUAAGGGCUGUGGAAGGAUUUAGCUGUUAUGGGUCAGUUGAUGCUGCUGGGCUCUGCUUAGUUCCUGAUGUGGUUAUCCCCUAUAAAUUCAAAGUACCAAAAUUUAAAAAAUAUGACGGUACAAAGUGCCCUAAAACCCACAUCACCAUGUAUUGCAGGAAGAUGGCGGCUCAUGCACAUGAUGAAAAACUCUUGAUGCAUGUCUUCCAGGAUAGUCUUACUGGCUCUGCGGCCAGAUGGUAUGUUCAGUUGGAUAGAACCCACAUUCGCUCCUGGAGCGAUAUGGCUCAUGACUUUAUCAGCCAAUAUCGACACAUCAUCGAUUUGGCCCCUGAUCGUUUAUCUUUGCAAAACUUGGAGAAAAAGUCAAAUGAGUCUUUUAAAGAAUACGCCCAGAGAUGGAGGGAUAUAGCUUCACAGGUUACAACCUGCUCUGACAGAAAAAAGAGACCACAGUGCUUGUUAGCACUUUGAAACCUCCUUAUUAUUGAAAAGAUGAUAGGGAUGCAACAAAAAUUUUGCUGACAUGGUGAUCUCUGGAGAAAUUAUUGAAAGUGCCAUUAAAAAAUGGCAAGUUGAGAGGAGGAAAGAAACCAAGAAGGCAUCAGAAAAGAAAGAAACUGAAGCUCAAGCUGUGAGCUUUGAUAGACAACAAUUCAGGGGUUAUCAAACCCUAUCCAUCUCAAGGUUACUCUCCAUACUAUCCCGCUGUGAAUAAUGCCUCAUUCCCACCCAUACCAGCUAGCUCCCCAACCAUCUUAUUCAUCCACUUAUCGCCUAACAUUCAAGCUCCUGUAAGAACCCAAAUCCGCCACUAACCCAGCCAGUGGCUCGCGAGAACAACGGACUACUCGAGAAAAACCUGUAUUUGAUCCAAUCCCUAUGACUUAUACAGAGUUAUAUCGAGAGCUUUAUAAUAGCCAUUUGAUUGCCCCCAGCCAUGUGGAACCACUUAAACCACCCUAUCCAAAGUGGUAUGAUCCUACAGCCCGUUGUGACUAUCAUUAUGGAAUUACUGGCCAUUCUACUGAAAAUUGCACUGCUUUAAAGUAUAAGGUGCAACGGUUGAUCAAUGAUGGAAUGGUAAGUUUUGAUCAAGGAAAAGCAACAGCACCUAAUGUUAGUGUACUGAGCGAAAGUCAAGAACAGAAAGGAUCCGGAGAUUCACAAUGAAUUGAGGGGCAAGAUGUCAAUGGAGAUAAGGCUGAUUGAAGGUUUCUUCUGUCAUUUUGGGAUUUCUUUUCAAAAAUGUUAGAUUUUUUUUUUUUGCAAUAUGACUUCACUUGUUAUCAUUUUAAUAAAGGCAAGUCAAUGCAUUUCAUUACAUUUUUCUCUUUCACUUUACCAUUAUUCCAUGCCUUGUUACCUUCCAUAACUUCACACUCCCAUUCUUAAAUUUCAGAUGAUGAAUAUUUAGACAAUGAUAACAAUAAUUCUGGAAUUUAAUUUUGAGAACUCAUUCACAGAGGAGAUGAUUUGAACGAAAAUAAAGAGGGUAAGCCAUCACCAGAGAUGAAAGAGAUAUAUCUUGAAGGUGUGCAAUAUUUUAUACAAGUUCAUGAGCUCUGUUCAAUAGAUGAUGUUCAAGAAAGGUAUUCACAAUUGAGAUGAAAAAUGGCCAUCUUUCUUUUACCAUUUGAAAAACCAUUUAUUGUUACCCCCUUGAGCUUAUCAUUUUUUUUUAGAACCCCAACCAAGGAUCACCCUCUACACUGGAGGGUAAUUUUUGAAAAAAAAAAAAAAAAAACCACAAAAGGUCUCAAAGAUGAAAAGAAAAAGAAAAGCAAAAGAAAAAAUAAAUGCCACACAUGACUUGGGGCAAAGUAAUGAGAAUCCUUUGUGUGAGGAAAGAAAAAAUAGUGAAACGAUGUGGGGCAAAAUGCCAAGCUGCAUCAAAUGAUCCUUCGGUCUUGAACCUUUUUAAUACAUGUUUUGAGCCUAUUAUAUCCAUUUUUUUUAUGACCCUUCACCUUAGCCUACAUUACAACCUUGGAAAGUCCAUUUGGAUCAAGUGUGAAUACCCAACUUGAAUGAUCAUAUGUUGAGCGAAGGCAUGCUCAUGAUGAAGCAAUGGAAUCAUGCUACAUUACCUUAAAAGUUUGAUGUAUGAAGGAUGUCAAUAAUAGGUGAAGAAUGAAAAAAAAGAUGAUGAAAAAAAAAAAAAAAAGAAAGAAAGAAGAAAAAAUGAGAAAAUGAAAAAAUGAAAAAAGAGAUCCGAAUUGAAAACCUGAAAGGGUGAUUUUGGUACCCAAAAAAAAAAAAAAAAAAAAAAAGAUUCAGGUCAAAUGGCUCACAUGAAUGAAAGAUCAAAGACAUCUGAAGAUCCCUUAAAGACUGGGGCAGAGUUCGCCAAGCCCAAGAUGACUUCAACAGUAAAUGAAUGAGCUUUUGAAAAAGAAUCCUAGAUUAAUGUUGAAAAUUGUCUAAAUAUUCAUCAUUUGGACAUACCAUUUACCUCAAUGACAUCCAAUUUAUUUCCUUUCCCAUUUAUUUUCUACCAAAAUAAAUCUCCAUUGAUUAUCUUUACCAUAAUUCACUUUCUGUCCUCUUAUUGUUACACCCUUAGAAUGAAUUGAGAAAAUGCUUGAUUGCAUUGUAUUUGUCAAAAUUUGAAAUGAUAAUGAAUGAAUGAACAUGUACUUAAAAGAAUCUUACAUUCAUUUGAAAAGAAAUCUAAGAUGAUGAAAAAAUGGUAGAAACCUAAAAGAGAUGAUGGGGCAAAUCUGGAAAAGUGAUGAAUUGAUCGAUAUGACUUGCAAGUUAUGAUUGAAUGAUGAAGACAAUCAGUAGACAAAGUCUGUUUUGGAAUUGUUGAUGCUCAGACAAGGACCCAGCGAUGGUGGAUGAAAUUUGUUUUAAAAUUUGCUAGUGCUGAGAAAUUCAUUGAAUGAUGGUCAAGGGAUGAUCGAUUGAUGAAGCUUAUUCCAGAGUAUUGAAAAACAGAACAAGGAAAGAAUGUGAACGGAAAGGACAAUUGAGAGCUACACUGGUUCGAUCUUAGAAGAGCAGUGCAAUUGGAUCCUUGAGGAAUUAAAGGGCUUGACACCCAAGAAAAAAAAAGAGCUUGAGAAACUUGAGUACCAUACAUUGAACAGGAAUUAAUUGGCCAACAUUUGCAUAGCAUGCAUUGAAAUUCAUAUGCAUUUGCAUAGCAUACACUACUUUCAGGAAAGUAUAGUGUACAAAUUCAAGAAGCAGGGGUGUUCCAACAUCCCACAUGGAAAAGACAGAUAUGAAAAGACUUUGCAAGUUUGAGAAGAAACUUGUCAGGUAAGUUCCUAAUCCUUGAAAUAGGAUGUCUCUUGGUAUCAGGGUUGAUUUAUAAGACCUUUGGGCAUGAUCUCCUGAAAUUCUCUUCAAACACAACUUUCAACUCCUUCGGACAUGAUUGUCUAGGAGUAUUUACUUUUCAAAGUUCGUUACCUCUGUUUAGAGGAGCAAUUUACUUUUUCAAAGUCGUGGUGCCUCUGUUUAGAGGAGCAAUUUACUUUUCAAAGUUCGUUGCCUCUGUUUAGAGGAGUAAUUUACUUUUCAAAGUUCGUUGCCUCUGUUUAGAGGAGCAAUUUACUUUUCCAAAGUCGUGGUACCUCUGUUGAGAGGAGCAAUUUACUUUUUCAAAGUCGCGUUGCCUCUGUUUAGAGGAGCAAUUUACUUUUCCAAAGUCGUGGUACCUCUGUUGAGAGGAGCAAUUUAUUUUUCAAAGUUUCGUUGCCUCUGUUUAGAGGAGCAAUUUAUUUUUCCAAAGUCGUGGUACCUCUGUUGAAAGGAGCAAUUUACUUUUUCAAAGUCGUGGUACCUCUGUUGAGAGGAGCAAUUUAUUUUUCCAAAGUCGUGGUACCUCUGUUGAGAGGAGCAAUUUACUUUUUCAAAGUCGUGGUACCUCUGUUGAGAGGAGCAAUUUACUUUCCAAAGUCGUGGUGCCUCUGUUUAGAGGAGCAAUUUAUUUUUUCAAAGUCGUGGUACCUCUGUUGAGAGGAGCAAUUUACUUUUUCAAAGUCGCGUUGCCUCUGUUUAGAGGAGCAAUUUACUUUUCCAAAGUCGUGGUACCCUCUGUUGAGAGGAGCAAUUUAUUUUCAAAGUUCGUUGCCUCUGUUUAGAGGAGCCAAUUUAUUUUUUCAAAGUCGUGUACCUCUGUUGAGAGGAGCAAUUUACUUUUCCAAAGUCGUGGUACCUCUGUUGAGAGGAGCAAUUUACUUUCCAAAGUCGUGGUGCCUCUGUUUAGAGGAGCAAUUUAUUUUUUCCAAAGUCGUGGUACCUCUGUUGAGAGGAGCAAUUUAUUUUUCAAAGUUCCGUUGCCUCUGUUUAGAGGAGCAAUUUAUUUUUUUAAAGUCGUGGUGCCUCUGUUUAGAGGAGCAAUUUACUUUUCAAAGUUCGUUGCCUCUGUUUACAGGAGCAAUUUACUUUUCAAAGUCGUGGUGCCUCUGUUGAGAGGAGCAAUUUAUUUUUCCAAAGUCCUGGUGCCUCUGUUGAGAGGAGCAAUUUAUUUUUCCAAAGUCGUGGUGCCUCUGUUGAGAGGAGCAAUUUACUUUCCAAAGUCCGUUGCCUCUGUUUAGAGGAGCAUUUACUUUCAAAAGUCGUUGAGUCUCUGUUUUAGAGGAGCUUCGGCCAAAAAAAAAAACAAAAAAAAAAAACAAAAACAAAAAAACAAAAAAAUCAAAAAAUCAAAAAAAUAAAACAAAAAUAAAAAAAAAUCAAAAAUAAAAAUGUUGAGUUGAGUCUUGAUUGGGUGUCUACGUCUUUGCGCAAUUUCUGUUUCACAGAAAAUGUGCAAAGAGGGGCAGCUGUAGACACCCAAUUGGGUCCGGGCCCAGAUCAAUUGGGCCUGACCCAAAUGGGUAAGGCCCAUUUCAAUCCUGUAUAUUUUUUUUUUCUUCUUUUGUAUUUUAUGUAUUUUAUUAUUAUUAUGUAUAUAUUUAUUUAUUUUUUUUAUUAGAUUAGAUUUAUAUGUAUAUAGUUAUAUAUUUAUUAUUAUUAUUAUUAUUUUUUUUUUUUUUUGUAAUAUAUACUUGGGUUUAUCUUAUUUUAUUAUUAUUAUUAUUAUUAUUAUUUUUAAUUAUCUGUUCUGAUUUUUCCUGAUUAUCAGAUUUUUUUUAUAUAUUUUGAUUUAUCUGAUUAUUAUCUAGUAUUUUUUUUAUUUUUGAUUUUGGAGGGCUAAGAUUGAAGUUGAAGAAUCCUACCGGGAAUGGGAAUUCAAUCAAGAGAGUCCAAUUGGAUUCAAAGACUGAAUUCCCGUCCAAGGAGGAAUUGGGAUUGAUCAGAAACUCCUGAUCAAUCCCUAUAUAAAGCACCUCCUGGAACAGUUCAAGAACACAGAAAAAACAGAAGCAAAAGCUACUGAUUGAGAGAAUAGGGGUGUUUAGAGAGCUAAGGAAAAGUUUAGGAGUGUUCUGGCAGUGAGAAAAAUUUUUUAGAAAAAUUUGGCGAAAAAAUUUUCUGGAAAUUUCUGGGAAAUUUCCCAGAUUCCGGCGAAAAUUCCGGCGACUUUUGAAUUUUCCCGGCGACAAUUCCGACGAACUUUGAAGUUUCCGACGACAGACCCAAUUUCCGGCGGAGAAUCCCAGAAACCGGCGACCAUCCGGCCAACUUUCGGCCAAUUUCCGGCGAAAUUCCCAGAUUCCGGCGAAUUUUCCAGAAUCCGGCACCGACGUUCUUCAAAUUCUAGAGAGAAGGCAGAGAAGAAGGAAGAAGAGAGAGAGAGGGGAGGAACGGUCUGCUGAAAAACGGAGGAAGGUGCCUUUUAUACCCUCCCAAAACGACGUCGUUUUGGCUUUAAGUUAAUAAGAGGAUCCGCGCGUUUUGCCGAACCCGACCCGACCCGAAGCGUAGACCCGCUUUCUGACCCGCGCGUUUCAGCCCCUCCGAGCUGAGCCGAGCCGAGCCGAGCCGCACCAAGCCGAGCCGCGAUCCGAGCCGCUCCAGGUUUUUUUUUUUUUUGAAUUUUUUUUUUAUUUUUUAUUUGACUUUGAUUUUGAUCUUGAUUUUUUUUCUUUAUUCUUUAAUUAAUCCGACGACGGAGCCUCUACAAGUAAAAACAGUAGUUUUUCUUACAUACUCCUAAGGUGAGGGAAUUUUCCUCAUUUUCUGCUAAAAGUAUUAGAGUCAAUUGAGAAUAAUUUCUGAUAAUUAAUUACUUGGCUGAUUUUGAUUUUUUUUUCUUUAAUUAAUCCGACGACGGAGCCUCUGCAAGUGAAACAGUAGUUUUCUUGCAUACUCCUGAGGUGAGGGAAUUUUCUCAAUUUUCUGCUAAAAGUAUUAGAGUCAAUUGAGAAUAAUUUUCGAUAAUUAAUUAAUUGGUUGAUCUUGAUUUUUCUUUAAUUAAUCCGACGACGGAGCCUCUGCAAGUGAAACAGUAGUUUUUCUUGCAUACUCCUGAGGUGAGGGAAUUUUCUCAAUUUUCUGCUAAAAGUAUUAGAGUCAAUUGAGAAUAAUUUUAGAUAAUUAAUUAAUUGGUUGAUCUUGAUUUUUCUUUAAAUAAUCCGACGACGGAGCCUCUGCAAGUGAAACAGUAGUUUUUCUUGUAUACUCUUGAGGUGAGGGAAUUUUCUCAAUUUUCUGCUAAAAGUAUUAGAGUCAAUUGAGAAUAAUUUUCAACAACUAACUACUUGGUAAAAUUUUAAGGCUUUUGGAUAACACAAAUUCAAGCUGGUACCAUCUUUUGAUGGGCGUUGUGAGGGUGCUAUAACCUUCCUCACACGUAACCGAACUCCCGAACUCUGUUCUGGUUAAGCAGACCCGAACCUAUUCUUUUAGGGACCCUUAAGCUUAGGUGUUCCCUAAAAGGGCAGAUUCCUUAGGUGGCCAAUCACACCUGGAUAAAAAAGAUUGGUGGCGACUCCCUAAAGUCAAUGUCUGACGAUAGAUCCCCGGAUCUAGACGUUAUGACACAAGAUUUUUAGAAUAUGAUUUUGGACUCAAAGCAGAGAGAUAAUUAUCUUUUUGUGUAAUUGUGCAUUUUGGAGUGAAUGCAAUAAUUGGUUCAGAAGUCACUUUUGAUCUACUAUUUUGAGGGGUAUCAGUUAUGGUUGUUUUGGCCAUUAGAAAAGAAUAAAUAAAAGUAAACCCAUGAAAACAAAGAAAAAAAUAAUGUUCUCUGAGUGUUAUUUUAUUAAAAGGAAUAUGAAAAUAUAUAAAAGAAUUGAUAUGUAUAAAGAAACCCAUAGAAUCAGGGCACAAUCAUCAAUACAUAAAAACAAAUAAAAGACAAGAAAUAUAAAUCCUAACAAAUCAGGAAAUUAAUCUUGAUUUAAUACAUAAUCUAUCAACAAAAAUUUUAUUAAAAGUAAUUCAUUUAAGAUCACUUGAUAAAAUAAACACAAUUCCUUUACUAUUUAAGUUUAAAAUUAUAACUAGAAUCUAAACACUAUUAAUUAAGUCCUUAAAUAUAUAAAAAAAUUUUAUAUUUUUUUUAGAAAAUAAAUGUCAAAGCACUCAAGAUUCCAAACUAUUUGGGUAUGUUUCAUUCCUCUCUUUUUUAUUAAAAAUAAUUUCUAACUUUAUUUUUAAUAGGAUUUAAAGUUUUAUUUUUUUUAUCAAAAUUUGUAAAUAUUAGGGAAAUAAAAUUUAAUAAAAUAAAAUAAAAAAGAAUUAGAAUUAGAAUUACGUAUCUAGAAUUAUUAUUCCUUGCUAUCAUAACAAAAUAUAUUUAUUAAAAGAAACAAAAUUUUAUAUUUAUUACAAAAGAAAAUAAUGUAUCAUUUUUGUCUCUUUUCCAAGUUUAAUUUUUAAAAUCAAAGAAAAUGAUACUUUAUUUCUUUCUAAUAACUUUUAUAAAUUUAUUUUUUAACGCAAUUAAUAUAUUUAAAUUAUUCUAAUGUUUUGUUUCUUUCUUUUUUGUUAAAAAUAAUUUUUAGAUUUAUUUUUAAUUGGAUUUAAUUUUAUAUACUAAAAUUUAUAAAUAUUGGAAAAAUAAAUUUUAAUAAACUAAAAAAAUAAAUUAAAAUAUGAUAAUUGACUCAAAAUUAUUCUUUUUAUUACAUACUAAAAUGUAUUUACUAAGAAAAUAAAAAUUUUAUAAUCAUUAUGAAAGAAACUAAAGUAUCAUUCUACCUUUAAUUUUAAGUUGAAUUUUUAAAAUUAAGGAAACCAUUGUGUUCUCAUUUCCUUUUUAAAAAAUUUAUAAAUUUUAUUUCCUUUUAAAUAAAUAGAUUUUGGUAAGAUUAUAAAGAGUAAGAAUUCUGAAUUCAUUAUCUUAAUUUUUAAUUUCCUCUUAUUUUUAUGCAAAGGGACCAUUUCGACAUCUUUUUAAAAAGAUUUAGGACUAUCAUGAAGUAAUUUGAAAAUUAAAAAUCAAAAUGAAACCCAAAUGAAAAGUUUGAGGCUACAAAUGUGCUUUAUCCUUAGUUUGAGUGUGGGACAUUUUCUCUUCUGAAUGUUCUCUAAGAAAAUCCUUUAAAUCAUUUAACUGAAGUAAGGUCCUUAAUCGAAAAUGAGCCAUGAAUUUCAUCUCCAGAGGCACUAUUGGUCAUUUUAAUAUUAUCUGAAAUUGAAGAGAACACCAUAUAUCCUGUAUCAUGGUCAUUUUUCAAAAGGUUAUCUUAAUUGUCACGGAUGGAUUUUGCUGCAAUGGUUAGAUCUUCUUGUUUUACCCCUGGAAUUUGCUGCUUAAAAUUUUCUGAAUUAUUUGGAUAAACUGAAUUGGCCUGUUUUGCAUGCUAUGUAGACACGGGUCUUAUGAUAGUAGAGGACAUCUGUCUGAUCCAAAUGAGGCAGGAUUGUUUAUGAAUCGAAAAUCCCAAGAUGCUG